UCCUCAAGCUCUGCAAACUUCUCUGGGGUAAAAGGGUAUGCCUGAAUCCCAUGUUCUUGGAUUGCCUCGGCAACAUUGGAGUGAAGAGUCUUUCCAUCUGGCCCAAUAACAACCAAAGUGGGCAGGGCUGAGAGCUCAAAGUAGCGAGCUAGUUUCUUACAGCUCCUGUCCUUGAAGGGCAAUGCAAGCCAAGGCAUGCUACCAAAAUUUGUUUUGAAUGAUUCUAUCUCAUCAUCAAGCGAUAUCAUGACAAUUUCAAAGCUCUCCCCCUUCGCCCUUAAUUUCUUAUAAACAUCCACUAGCGUUCGAGUAAAUUGAAGGCGUGGCUUGGAGGAAGACAAUGAGAAAUACAGUCCAACGAACUUCCCUUCUAGUUCAGACACAGGCACCUUGUAUUGAAAUAGUUUAAGAAGAAAUUCAGACCAGGAAGAAACAAUAUGAAUCAUGUUCAAAUUUAUAGAUGCGAGAAUAACUAUUUCUUGAACAAAAAGCACUGUCAAUGAAAUUCACCCUCUUUCCAUCAGUUGAAAUUACAUAGUCGCGGGAUUGUGAGACUAAGAUGGAUAUCAAGGAUUGUUCCUUCUUGGCCGUUUCUUCCUUUUCCUUCAGUUCUUUGAUCUUUUCAGCUGUGAAAGGAUACCCUUCCACUCCAUAAUCUUUUAUGAUCUCAACUCCCUCACUGCUCAAAACCUUGCCAGAUUCAUCAAGCAUCGCAAGGCUUGGAAUCCCCCUCACCUUGAACAAUUUCUUCAAGUGAUCACGCGUGUCCGAAUCAGAAAAUGGGAUUGCAAGCCAGGGCAUCUUGGAGAAAUAUUCAUUGAACAACUGAUCGCCUUUGUCACGUGAAACAAAGAUGAUUUCAAAAUCGCCUUUGGAGGAGAAUUCAUCGUACACCUCUACUAAUUCAGGGGUGAAUUGCCGACGUGGUCCACACCAUGAUGCUGAAAAAUAUAGCCAAAUUUUCUUCCCCUUUAAACUCUCAACUUUAACCUGCAAAACACAGAAUUUAGCCGAUGAACUCCCUUCUGGAUCACUCUAAAAGCAAUUAAUGCUAUUAGGCCAAUUGAACUUUUUGCUGCUUAAGACUCUGUUAACAAUAGUCACAACUCUUCUGUGAUUUAAGCGUUGGUGGGUGUUGGACUCUUGGUUAAUUGGGGGCGUCCAGCUCCUUUUUUCAUUCGAAACUCUUAGUUCCACUCAAGCUUCUUUUUAUGGUAGAAUAAAAGCAGAGAAGAUGGAAAAUACCUGGUGGCCAUUGCAGCGGACAAGAAAGUCCCGAUCCUCUCUUGUGAGAAGCGGAACCAAAUCGUGAGCAACGCCAUCAACGUUUUCGCUAGCCAUGUCUUCUGAUUUUGAUCACAAUUUUUUUAGCCUGUGCCUUUGCACUUUGGUGCCCAGCUUCUAUAGCAUCUAAGUCGGUUAGACCUAAGCCAUCCAGAAGCCUUAGGGGUGAAGAAAACCAAAGUCUACGUAUGUGGUGUACGUAGAUGCCCAACGUCAGCGCGGGCCGCGGUCCCCUCUAGGGAAAAAGACAUAAGUUGCGUGGCUGCAUAUUGUAAUGGUUGUCAUUUAAUAUGAAUGUACUACAAUUUUGAAAGUUUAGGUAAGGAAAUAAGUACUGAAGAAAGACUUGCGGGUUCUCUACUCUAUCUCAUGAGCUUGUAUUCCUGAGGACAAUGACCCACAUCCUCCCUUUUCACCUCAUUAGACCCCAUUAAAACAUAACUUAUUGGUAUCAUCUGGAGCUUCGGAGCAUUGUUCAAAGUAGCUCCAUUUCUUUCUCCCCCCACUUUAAAUGAGUUUGAAACAGUAAUUUCAAUUAAAAUUAGAAACCAUAAUUUUAGAAUACGACUAGAACUGCAGUUUUAAGGCGCAAAACUUUACAAGUCAUAGCUUCUAGAUGUAAAUAUAAUAUAUUGGCCAAAAAGUCCACAUGAAGCAAAACUACUUUUCAUAUAUGUUUACAUUUUAAAUACUUUUAGAAUCUAAUUCCAAGUAAAUUGAUAGACUUUACUGAAUUUCUUUGAAAGAAAAGUUUGUCCAAAUAAAUUUAUCAAAGUUAAAAAUCGAGAAAAAUUAUUUUGAGUAUCAUUAAUAUAAAAACAACAAAUUUACCAUGUUUUGUCUUAUAUUUUGAAACUUUUAAAAAUGAUAUGUUUUUUAUAUUUAGUGAAAUUUUUGCAUAGCUAAGAUAACAUAUAGGACAUUUGAAAACUCUCAAUUAGGCCAUGUUAUCUAAACCUUUAAAAGAAGUAAAAUUUUAAAUUCAAAAAUUACAAAAUAAAGUAUUAUGCUAUUGUUAUUAUUUGGAAAUAUAUAUUUAAAUAAAAAAAUUUGUCGUUACUUGUACAUUAAAAUUAAAAUUUUUGAAUAUGAAAAUAAAUGAUUAACGUACCAUAUUACACAUUAUAUUAUUAUCCUUUAAUUUACAUUUCAAAUUCUAGAUUUAUGGGUUAAUCCCAUUGUAUUAUAACUAAACCAUAGUUCAAGAAAUUGGGGUGUGAUAGCAACAUAGGUACAAAGUUGACAAAGCCUAUAACCAAACACUUGAUAUCUAUUAUAGUAACCUUGAAUAAAAGGACUUGCUAGAAAGAUGGUGAGUUGGCUACUCAUCUUGAUCGAAUGUGAAAUCGCUAUCUCAAAUAGGUAAAAUAUAAAGCCACUAAGACAAUGAUAGACAAAGGAAGUUGAUUUAGAAAAAUAUAAAGACAAAGAUAAAAGUAUUGGAAGUACUAGGUGUGGGGACUCCUCUCCACGUGUCACAUUUCCUCGGUAUUGCUCGGAUAACUGCCACAGUGUUCGGAACCUUCCAUCCGAACCACACAGACAUAUGGCAAAUGGCAUCGGACUCUCUAAGUGGACGACACUUUCCAGCCAGCCUUUAAGUCCCCCUUGCUACAUGUAAUCAUUUCCAUCUAACAUGGAAGUGGUUGAUGGGAUCUCCCCCAAUCCUCACAUCCAUGUCAAUUAAUUAUCACGCACUACCCCAUACCUCCAGCAAGUUGAAGGGACGGACAAGUGCAUGAUUUAACAUCAUGACACAACUUCUAAUGGCACUUGCAGGCUGCCCAAAAUUGUAAUGAUUGCCUUACUACCUACAGGGCAACCAUCAUUAUAGAGAAGGUCAAAGUGUUUAGUUAACACUACAGUAGCUUUCUUCUAAGCACUAUAAAAAGUUCCCCCUGAAGCAUAAUUUAGGUACAUGCACUAGAACUGACCCACUCAUUCUCUCCCUGAAAGAGUUUGACUUGUCUUUGUCUAACUUAAGUUUCGGAGGGGCGUGCUCGGACCACUUGUCCGAACAUCCUUUGUGUAGGGAAUAAGCUAUCACCUAGUUUCCCAUCAUUAGGCAAGAGCUCUGAGGGGCACAACUCAAGGAGGAUCUAACCUCAGUUGACCCUGCAUCAACACUACGAUUUAUGGCUUUAUUAAAAUUUAAAAUGAAUAAAAAAGGCUCAAAAGAAUUACAUUUCUAAAAACAUAUAUAAAAGAAAGUUGCUCAGUUGGAUGCCGUAUAGUUUGCCCUCUAUUAUUGAGUCUACCUCAAGAGUUAGACAAUCAGACUUCUCACCAAAAAAACAUUAGAGAGUUAUGAUGCGAAAGUCUAAGGAUAAUAUCUUUACAAUAAAAUAUUUUUAAAUAAAAUUUAACAACAAACUUAACUUGAGAAAGCCUUAUAUGAACUAUGAUAACAUACUUGAAAUAUUUUAAUAGAAACAUACAAUCAACAUCAAUAUAAAUGUUUGCAAUCACAUGAAUUAUGGAAAUGUAUUAUCAAUUAUGCUCCUUAAUUUGAUCAUAUCACAACUAGUUAAAUUGAAAUAAUUGGUUGCCAUGACACCCAUCCAUUUCAACAUGAUUAUUAGAUAAAUAGACAUAAUUACCAUACUGACCAUCUCACGACAUAAAGAUCUACAUAGAAAAAAUAAAAGGGCAAGAUAACAUUUCAUGUAAAUUUGUUCAUAUUUCAUAAUAACCAUAAUUCAUAAUCAUGGUAAAAUAAUAUCUUCAAAAUGGACUAUUGUACUAUUGGGAUUGAACCUCUAAAAACAAAACAUAAUGUAAUAAAGUUAGACUUCAUUAUCACUAGGUUAUUCAUUUUCUUUCAUUGACAUUGAUUUGAGGAUUCAACUUAUAUCUCUUACAUUGUAUAUGACUUGGAUGUAUUAAAAGUUGUACGGAUGAUACAAAUCAUAGGUUCUUUGUUAGUAGAUAAGUUGUUCAUAGCCAGUUCAUGGAUUUAGGCAAUCUAAUAAAGACAUAGUGUACUACCUUCUAAUUGGAAGGAUGACUUGUCUUGACCAUCAAGAUGUAUUUCCUAUAGUGAGUGCACUACUGUAUGCGAUGCACAUUGGACAAAACCUAUAGUGAAUCAUGAUAUAAGGCUAUCGAUUGUCAUGAUUCACCAAAUUACUAUACUACAUGGACUCUCAACCUUAAGAGGAUAUUAAGUUUAUGUUAAAGUCAACAGGAGACUUUGGCCUAUGGAUAAGUGUAGACUCUCUAUUUUGUCAUCUUAGCAAUAUUCCAUCUAGGAUUGCCUUCCUACAUCCCUUGAUGUCCUAUUGUACACUUAUGGAAAUUUUCUGAGCUAUUUUUUAGUCUUGAUUGGUGGUCCAAUGUGACUUUUUGGUCACUAUCUUUGGAAAUAUAUUAGGGAAUUUUUUAGGGAUCCUCAAUGUGACUGCUUUGUGACCUUUGAUAUUUUAGGAUUUUGUUUGAUUGAGUUUCUUUUAGUAUAUUAAGAUAUGACAUCUAGUUUUAGGAUUAGAUGAGUUUGAGUUUUUUUUUUGUUGUGUGAGGGCUAUUUGAUUGCAUGAGAUUUGGCUUUCGAUCUUUGGUUACAUAUGAGUGGUACUCUAAUUUGUGAUUUUAUGAGUUUUGAUUUUGAAAUGUGAAAAUUAAUUUUGGUCUAUUUUAUGAUUUUGGUCCUUGAAUUUCAAGUUGCAUGAGUUUUGUUUUUUUGUUUUCCUUUUCUUCCUCUUAAUUUUGUGUGGCAUGAAGAUUAACCAUUGAACUUUAUAUAAGUAAUUUUUUUAGAUAAUAGUGGAUCAUUGGCAUAUUUAUUUACAUUUUUUGUGAGGUCAUAAGAAAUGAAGGUUGGCGAGGACUAUACAACAAACUUAAGUCUUCCUUGCUUGGAAUUGCUGCUUCAUGGGUGACUAACAAAAGGAUCAUUAUGGUUUUUCAAGUUGGAUGUGGAACAUGGAUCAAAAGGAGAGUCAAACUUGAAAAUCAUAUCACCAUACAUUUGGAGAAGGGAAAGGACUUCAGCCAGGAGGAUCAUGUGGCAUUAAAGGCUUCUCCAUUAUGCCAUCACGUGUCAACCAUGAAAGAGGAUUCCAUUAAAAGGAAUCAACUAGGGUCACUUGCAUGCAUUAGGGGUGUACAUCACAACCUCACAAGAUCUUUAUUCAGGGGUUCUAGAAAUCUCCAGGAGCUUCAAGAGGAUCAAGGAAGAGUCACACAAUUGGAGUGGAUGAGGUCGUGCAUUAGGAGAGAGUUCUCGGGAGCAUGCAUUUGAACCAUUUCUUCGAUUUUUUGAGGGAAGCUACAACUGUCUUGAGAGGAUUUUGGAGGUUUCAUUUAUUGUUAGAGAAGGAUAAUGAACUAAACAUUUUUCUUCUAGGGUUCUAGGAGGAUUAGGGGCUUCUGAUAAUUGUCCAACUUUGUAGCUUACCAUCUUCACACCGACAUUUUUGAGGAAGAUCUCCAUUGAUGCAUAUUGGUUCUGGAGAGCUUCAACAGAGAAUAUGUCAUUCUUUGUAAUAGUGAGCACCAUUUUUUUCAUAGAUGAACAUCACAUACAUCUCCAUAAUGACAUUGAUAAGAGAAUCAUCAGAGAUGUCAUAGCUUGAGGUCAUGAAUUUCUACAUCGAAUCAUCACCAUUACGCGAUGACAAUUAGAGAAAGCAAUCACCGAUCUUGGGAGAAAAUUAUAUUUGCUUCUUCUAACAACUUGUAACGCCUCAAAUUCUUGGGAACCCAACAUUUGAAUCAUGACCCUAGGUCAAAUGUUUGACCCUAAGGAUUACUCCCAUCCAUGCUGACAGUCAAUUCUGAUAACUUGAUUUUUCUUGAAUAAAUAAACAUCUAAUCCCAAAUAAAUUUAUUAAGUUAAGAUAUACUAUAUGAUUUUUUUUUUUCCUAAACCAACCAUCACCUUUUCAGAAGUACAAUAAAUCCACCUAUUAAUCUUACUGUCCAAGAUGAUAACCCAAAUAUUUACACUAGUCUCUAAGCAAAAAAAUAUUUCUAAAAAUAUUUUACGAACUAACAAAGUAUAAUUUAAGUUAUAAAAGUUCAUAUAACUCAAAUUAGUACAUGCCAAAAGGUAAUAUAAAUUAAAAACAACCGUUAUUAUUAUUAUUAUUAUUAUUAUUAUUAUUUACUUUCUGAGACUUUUUGGAACAUUUUUUGAUCUUCUUGUGGUUCCUAAAAAACUAUAUCUGCACCUAAAAAUUUUAGAAAAUAAAGAGGUGAACAUUUUUACAUUGCUCAGUAGGGUGUUUUAUACCCAAAUGAGCUAGAAAUUCUAAGUCAAUAAAAUACAAUUAUAUGUCAAACUAUAAUAUUACAUUUACAUUAUAUACAUUAAAUGAAACAUCAACCAUACAAAUUUAAACUGAUCAAAAUUAUCACUUUUUUUAUUCAAUCAUAUGUCUAGCAUAUCAACAAUUCUAAAUUUACAAAAUAAAUUAGUCAUUUUAGUCUCGAAUAAUAUAUUCAAACAUACAAUUGAUAAAUAAUACAAAUCCUUCUUUCAAAUGUAAUCAUGAUGCAAAUGCUUACACGUAAUCAAACAAUGUGUUGUUGUUCUCGGGCCUUCACCAAAGAAUACGCAUUUCUACCCAAAUACACUCCCUAUUCGAAGCUUUUUUGGGGUAAACUUUUAGAUAUUUUACCUUAGGGAUUUCAUCUCCUUUUUAAUUCGCUCUUUCUAGGGUCCUUCCAUUUCUCAUUUUUUAUUUUCUUUUCAUUUUUGCCAUUUUCGGGGUCUUUUCAUUCUUGUUUCCAUUUCACACAACCAUUUCUUCAAUUUUUUUUUCUUUCGCACGCUCAUGAUGCAUAUGAAAUACAAUAAACUCACAUGUUAUCAUCCACAAUUUCCCAAGAUAUAAUUUUAUUUACUCCAAACAUGCUCAAUAAUUUCCAAUAAUCAACACAACCAUUUUUCUUUAGUUAAAUCACCACAAACCUCUAAAUAAUAAUAAUAAUAAUAAUAAAUUAAUCAUAAUAGUAACCAUAUUCCAAAUAGCAUAAAGAACAAUCCAAAAAGCAUGUUGUGGACCCCACAUUUGCUUAAUGUGUUCCCACUAGAUGGCGAAAACUUGCUUUUUUAUUUUGUUUCGUGAAAAUUUGAUUUUUAGAAAAAGACUUGGAGUCGCCACUUAAUUUUGUUUUAUUUUUAAAGAAAAAAACAAAAUAAGAAAGAAAAACCCUAAGUGUAACUCCUGAAGGAAAAAACGGGUCUGUGAAAAACCAAGUCUAGGUACCCUGUCAGGUUACUUAUUGGGAAGGUACGGUGGUGAGCCGUAGCACCCUUCUAAGCCCGCGUAUGUACGACCUCUACUAAACGAAUUGAGAAAAUUGUGGCAAUUAAUUAAUUAAUUAUGGAUACCAAGAAAAAUAAUCAAUAUACAAGUCAUGGUGAAAAUUAAUAUGCACAAAAACAAUGAUGAAAUCUAAUUACAAAAAUAUACAAAAUAAAUAAUAAGAGGAUUAUGCAAAAUGAUUUAUUGAAUUAAAUAAAUAAAAGAUAUUUAAAAAAAGUUUUAAAGAAAUUUCAAAGGAUUCUAUUGAAAAUGAUUUUGAAUUAGUGAUUUCCAUUUAUUUACUUAUAAAAAAAUCAAUUUAUUCUCUCAAUUUUAGUUGUAUUCAAUUAAAAAAAAAAACUAUUUACACUUAUUGUAUCAAAAGAAUUUAUUACAAAAUUUCAAUUUGAGCACAAAAAUUAUUUUUACUUGCUUUUACUAGAAAAUAUUGAGUUUUUACAAUUUUAUUUACAAAAAUAUUUAGAUUCAUUUUCAUUUAAAAGAGUGAUUUUUUAUAAAUUAUUUAAAAUGACACAACUUUAUUUGCAAAAGAAAUUUUAAUUAAAAGGAAAAACAAAGAUUUAAAUUCUCUAUUUCUAAAAAACACUUUUAAUCUCGUUUUAAUUAAGGAAAAAAAAGAAUUCGUUUAAAAAAAAUAUUUUUAGACAAUUUUACUAAAAAUUAAUUUUUGGGACAUCUUUAUUUACAAAACAAUUUUUGGACAAUUUUUAUUAAACAAAGAAGUUUUUUUUAACAGUGUCAUUAAAAACAAUUUUUUUGGAUUUUUCUAAAUGUUUUUUUUUUUCUGAAUUUUCAUAAAAAAAACUUUCUUUUAUUAAAAAUGAUAUUUUGAAAUUAGUAUUUUAUUAGAACAUAUUUACUGAAUUCUUCCUCCCAUUUAAACAAAAUUUCUAAUUUGUUCGAUAUUCAAUUCUGUACACACUCAAUAAAUAUAAAUGAACAAAUAUUUACAAGAGUUAAUUAAAAUAAAACCAAAUAAAAGUGGUAAACAAAAUAUGUACCCAAACAAACUUACAACAAGCUCCACGUGUUAUCAAUUCGUACUCAGCCAACCAGAUUCCAGAAUGAGUCAAUGCAAAAGCAAAAACAGCGCAAAUGUAAAUAUCUAGAUAUGUAUAAAAUCCCAAACAAAUAUUCAAACCUAAAUCCCAAUUUCAAAUUAGUCCCAUAAAUUUUGUCAAUUUAAAAUGAGCCCAAAUUACUAUAGGUCUUAACGCGGAACAUCCAAAUUAAUAAUAAAAAAUACAAACAUAAUCAACCAAACUUAAAAUUUGAUAAAUUAAAAUAAAUUCUACUAGACCUAAAUUUAAUAUUUUAUAAUCUAAGUCUAAUUUAAUAUACACCACAAUUGUCCUAUGUCCAAAUUAAACAAUUCAAAUUGGCCAAGCCUAUAUCAAAUAUUCAAAUAAUCCAACAAAUCCCACCCAUAUUAUGGCCCCAAAAUCCACAUCAAUUAAUAAGUCCACAUAAAAAAAAAUACAUGAUCAAGAGCAUGGAUUGAAAAAUCGGAAAAUGUCGCCGAUAUUUCGUCGAAAUAUCGGUUAUCGGGCGGCAUGGAAACGAUAAACGGCACCGAUUAUCGAUCGACGGAAAAAUCGGCCAAAAAUCGACAAAAUCUCCGAUAUAUCGGCGAAAUAUCGGUGAAGCACCGAAAAAUUGGAGAAAAAUCGCGAUAUUUCCUACCAGUCCAGCCCGCGCAGUUGUGUUUUUCAGCCUGGCUCAAAAAUCGUGGAUUUAGGGUUCGUGAAAUUUAAAUCCAAUGGCACAACAGCAAAGAGACCCCUAAAACAGAUCCAGAAAACACAGGGAGCAAAAGAAAAGCAAUUUUUUUGGUUUUCUUUGGGAGUUUUGAAUGGAUUUUCUCGGAAAUCAAACGAGGAUGAAUUUUCCCGGAAAUCGAAUGGGGAUGGAUUUUCUUGGGAAUCAAAUGGGGGUUGCAAAAAAAAAAAAAAAUAAUAACAUGAUUAGAUUAGUACCUGCGAGGAUUGAGAUUUGAGAGUAGCAGAGGAAAAUAGGGCUUUUUAGGGAUUCUCUCGCUGGAAGACACCUUCAGAAAAGGGUUCUUGAUGCCCGAGAGAGAAGUGGGUGCCUUUUUUAUUUUUUUUUAUUUUUAGAUUUAGGGGAGAUAAAAAAAUAAAAAAUAAAAAAUAAAAAAAACAUGAGAACAAUUUUCUAUAAAUAAUUAUUAAUUUUCAACUUUUAUUUGGAUUAUUAAAUAAAUUUAUAUUAAUAAAAAAAGUUGUUAUCACAUUUUUUAAUAAAUUUUAAAAAUUAAAUCUCAAAUAAGAUAUUUUAUAUAAAUUAANNNNNNNNNNNNNNNNNNNNNNNNNNNNNNNNNNNNNNNNNNNNNNNNNNNNNNNNNNNNNNNNNNNNNNNNNNNNNNNNNNNNNNNNNNNNNNNNNNNNNNNNNNNNNNNNNNNNNNNNNNNNNNNNNNNNNNNNNNNNNNNNNNNNNNNNNNNNNNNNNNNNNNNNNNNNNNNNNNNNNNNNNNNNNNNNNNNNNNNNNNNNNNNNNNNNNNNNNNNNNNNNNNNNNNNNNNNNNNNNNNNNNNNNNNNNNNNNNNNNNNNNNNNNNNNNNNNNNNNNNNNNNNNNNNNNNNNNNNNNNNNNNNNNNNNNNNNNNNNNNNNNNNNNNNNNNNNNNNNNNNNNNNNNNNNNNNNNNNNNNNNNNNNNNNNNNNNNNNNNNNNNNNNNNNNNNNNNNNNNNNNNNNNNNNNNNNNNNNNNNNNNNNNNNNNNNNNNNNNNNNNNNNNNNNNNNNNNNNNNNNNNNNNNNNNNNNNNNNNNNNNNNNNNNNNNNNNNNNNNNNNNNNNNNNNNNNNNNNNNNNNNNNNNNNNNNNNNNNNNNNNNNNNNNNNNNNNNNNNNNNNNNNNNNNNNNNNNNNNNNNNNNNNNNNNNNNNNNNNNNNNNNNNNNNNNNNNNNNNNNNNNNNNNNNNNNNNNNNNNNNNNNNNNNNNNNNNNNNNNNNNNNNNNNNNNNNNNNNNNNNNNNNNNNNNNNNNNNNNNNNNNNNNNNNNNNNNNNNNNNNNNNNNNNNNNNNNNNNNNNNNNNNNNNNNNNNNNNNNNNNNNNNNNNNNNNNNNNNNNNNNNNNNNNNNNNNNNNNNNNNNNNNNNNNNNNNNNNNNNNNNNNNNNNNNNNNNNNNNNNNNNNNNNNNNNNNNNNNNNNNNNNNNNNNNNNNNNNNNNNNNNNNNNNNNNNNNNNNNNNNNNNNNNNNNNNNNNNNNNNNNNNNNNNNNNNNNNNNNNNNNNNNNNNNNNNNNNNNNNNNNNNNNNNNNNNNNNNNNNNNNNNNNNNNNNNNNNNNNNNNNNNNNNNNNNNNNNNNNNNNNNNNNNNNNNNNNNNNNNNNNNNNNNNNNNNNNNNNNNNNNNNNNNNNNNNNNNNNNNNNNNNNNNNNNNNNNNNNNNNNNNNNNNNNNNNNNNNNNNNNNNNNNNNNNNNNNNNNNNNNNNNNNNNNNNNNNNNNNNNNNNNNNNNNNNNNNNNNNNNNNNNNNNNNNNNNNNNNNNNNNNNNNNNNNNNNNNNNNNNNNNNNNNNNNNNNNNNNNNNNNNNNNNNNNNNNNNNNNNNNNNNNNNNNNNNNNNNNNNNNNNNNNNNNNNNNNNNNNNNNNNNNNNNNNNNNNNNNNNNNNNNNNNNNNNNNNNNNNNNNNNNNNNNNNNNNNNNNNNNNNNNNNNNNNNNNNNNNNNNNNNNNNNNNNNNNNNNNNNNNNNNNNNNNNNNNNNNNNNNNNNNNNNNNNNNNNNNNNNNNNNNNNNNNNNNNNNNNNNNNNNNNNNNNNNNNNNNNNNNNNNNNNNNNNNNNNNNNNNNNNNNNNNNNNNNNNNNNNNNNNNNNNNNNNNNNNNNNNNNNNNNNNNNNNNNNNNNNNNNNNNNNNNNNNNNNNNNNNNNNNNNNNNNNNNNNNNNNNNNNNNNNNNNNNNNNNNNNNNNNNNNNNNNNNNNNNNNNNNNNNUCCUCAUCAUCAAGUGAUAUCAUGACAAUUUCAAAGCUCUCCCCCUUUGCCCUUAAUUUCUCGUAAACAUCCACUAGCGUUGGAGUAAAUUCAAGGCAUGCCUUGUAGGAAGACAAUGAGAAAAACAGCCCAACGAACUUCCCUUCUAGUUCAGACACAGGCACCUUGUAUUGAAAUAGUUCAAGAAAAAAUUCAGACCAGGAAGAAACAAUAUAAAUCAUGUUCAAAUUCGUAGAUAUGAGAAUAUAUAUUUCUUAAAUAACUCACCUUCUUUCCAUCAGUUGAAAUUACAUAGUCACGGGACUGAGAGACUAAGAUGGAUCUCAAGGAUUGUUCCUUCCUGGCUGUUUCUUCCUUCUCUUUCAUUUCUUUGAUCUUUUCAGGAGUGAAAGGAUAAGCUUCCACUCCAUACUCUUGUAUGAUAUCAACCCCAUCUUCGCUCAAAACCUUGCCAGAUUCAUCAAGCAUCACAAGGUUUGGAAUCCCCAUCACCUUGAACAGUUCAUUCAACUGAUCUCGUGCAUCUGAAUCAGAAAAUGGGAUUGCGAGCCAAGGCAUCUUGGAGAAAUAUCCAUGGAACGACUCAUCAUCAUUAUCACCUGAAACAAAGAUGAUUUCAAAAUCAUCGUUGGAGGAGAGUUCAUUGUAGGCCUCAACUAAUUUAGGGGUGAACCGCCGACAUGGCCCACACCAUGAUGCUGAAAAAUAUAGCCAAAUUUUCUUCCCCUUCAAACUCUCAACUUUAACCUGCAAAACACAGAAUUUAGGCCCAUUAAACCCUUUGCUGCUCAAAACUGUUAACAAUAGUUACGACUCUUGGUUAAUUGGGUCCGGCUUCUUUUUCCCCCCUUAAUCAGAACCUGUUUCAGCUCCUUUUUCAUUAGAAACGCAUAGUUCCUUUCAAGCUUUCUUUUACGGUAGAAUAAAAACAGAGAAGAUGGGAAAUACCUGGUGGCCAUUGUUGCGGACAAGAAAGUCCCGAUCCUCUCUUGUGAGAAGCGAAACCAAAUCGUGAGCAACGCCAUCAACGUUUUCGCUAUCCAUGUCUUCUGAUUUUGAUCACAAAUUUUUAGCCUGUGCCUUUGCACUUUGGUGCCCAGCUUUUAUAGCAUCUAAGUCGAAUAGGAUUAAGCCAUCCAGCAGCCUUAAGAGUGAAGAAAACCAAAGUUGACGUUGGUGGUGUACGUCAGAUGCCCAACGUCAGAUGCCCAACGUCAGCGUGGGCCGCGGUCCCCUCUAGGGAAAAAGUUUAGAUAAGGAGAUAAGUAUUGAAGAAAGACGUGUUUUUUCAUCCGACCUCAUGAGCUUGUGUUCCUGAUGACAAAGACCCACAGUCCGUCUUUCACCUCAUUAGACCCCAUUAAAACAUAAACGAAAAGAAAAAACUGAGAAGCAUCUUGGAAGAUGCCCAUGAAAAGUGGCACGAACUUAUUUAAUUGCUCUCAUGGGUAAGAAUGAAAAGAUUUUUAGUUAUUAUUUUAUAGUUCUUUUACUCAAGUAAUUGAGCUUAGAUUGAGCAUAAUGCUCCGUACCUUGUUAGCAUAAAUUUUCAUUUCUUAAUAAUUAAACAAAGAUAUUUUCUGUUUGAAAAAACUUAAGCUUGAUCUAUGCAAGAACACAAACAUUUAAAGAUAUGACUCUGUUGGAUCAUAUAGAAUACACAUAUUUUACUGCCCUAGGUAAAUCUUUAUGAUCUAAGGAGGACUUCCGAGCAAAGUACCUUUCACUCGGCUUUGGUUGGAGCAAUGAGUGGUCAGGGAAAGUUGAUGGAAUCUCACAUCUCUCCUUGACCUAUAGUUGGUUUUGACAAUGAACCUUGGAUGGAAAGUUUUGGUAUAAAAGUUAAAAACAUCAUCUUGCCAGCGCAUCCUUUCCUGGUGGGGAAUUGAACCUGGACUCAUGGUUAACAAAAUGAGUAGUACACCACUAUGCCAAACAACAUUUAAUUAAUAAUUUGGUAAAUAUCUAUAGAUCUGUUUUUUUAAAUUUUUAUCACAUAAAACAUUUAAACAAAUAUAAAUAUUUAUAUCUACUAUUAUUUUUAUAAUAAUGAUUAAUUAUAAGCAUGAAAAUAAUAUAAAUUAAUCAAUAUAAUAAUUUAUUAAAAUAUAAAUUAUAUAUUUAUGAUGUUACUUAUUUGACCGUGAUUUGACCAUUACUUCAAUCAGUGAACUGAUAACUUUUUCGAUUCAAUGUUCAGUCUGAUUUUGAAAACAUUGAGAAAAAACUCACUCUUAUGGAUUUUUUAUCACCUUACUUUAUUUAUUUUUUCUUAUUUUUAGUUUUAGGAGUAGGAGUAGGAUUAACUUAGUUUAGUUUAAUUUUAGUUUCAGUUGUAAUAUUUAAUUUUUAUAUAAUCUUUCAUUAUUAAUUUUCAUAGUAAUGAGCUUUUAAUUUUUAGUUAAUUUCAAUUUCAAAGUUUAGUUUUAAUUUCUAGCUUUCUUAUGGUUUGAGUUUCUAGAAAUUUUAUUUCUUUGCACCUUUACUUUCUUCUAGACUUUACAUUUCUUUCUUGUCUUCAAUUUCAUCACGUUUAGCACCAAGGGAUAAGUGUGUAGACCCCUUAAAAGACUAAGGGUUUUUCCAGUUGGUUUUUGGGACCACUCGGGUGAUUUUUUUUGAAGUGAGGAGGGGACCCCUUUUCUAUAAAUUCUUUUUGUGAUAAGUAAACCCUUCCUUACUAAGUUGUGGCUCAUCACUUUUAUAAAAAUGGUUUUCUACAAACCAAAUUGGAAAAGAGCAUGUUGAGGUUGUGCUCUAGUUUAGGAUAAAAAAGACUGUAUAUUUUAUAUAUAGAAGUUUGAUGAUGGAAGAGUUUUGUAAUAUGUAAAGAUGUAUCUAAACACUUGAAUGGGCGUAUAGUGUUUAAUAGAAUGAAUAAAAAUGCAAGUUUUAGUAUUUUUGGUUUGGAAAUGUUUUGAUUAUUUUUGGGUAUUCAAAUAUAUAGAUUUAAUUUACUUAUGGUAGUACAAAAAUCAUUUAAUGGUGUUAAGGGGUUUUUAAUGGAGAAAAAACUAAGUUUUAGAUAAUUGAAAAGCACUAAGGUGGUGUUUGUUUUUUGGCUGAAUAGAAAAGGCCAAAUAUUUUGGCUUUUUCUAUUCAGCUAAAAGUAAUUUGUUGACAUCAUCCAACAUAACUAAAGUGAAUUUAUUAUUAAUAGGUUCAGUUUAGUUAUAUUGGAUGGUAUCAAUAAAUUACUUUUAACUGAAUAGAAAAAGCCAAAUAUUUUAGCUUUUUCUAUUCAGCCAAAAAACAAACACCACCUAAGUUAAAAACAAGGGAGAAAAUAGUGCAAGUAAGCUUGGGUAUGGGUGCAUUAAUUGAAGGUGCACAAAGUUAUUUUAUUUUUGAGGUUGAAAAAUAUGCAUUGUUUAAAUUGGAGUGUGCUAGAGAGAUGCACAAUAUUAUUUGGAGGUGUGUUGUGAUUGAAGUACACAAUUUGUGGUUUAUUUAAAAGUGCACUAUUGAAGUGCAAAGGAGAGGUACACAAUUUGAUUUUGAGGUGUGCUAUUUUGAGAAGUGUGUUAUUUGAGUUUAGUUGAAGAUGCAUUAUUUAAGUUACAAGUGUGUAUAAUAGGUGUGCUAUUUUAAUUUGGGGAGGUGCACUAAUGCAAUUUGAGUGUGCUAUUGGACAUUGACACACAAUUUAGAGACUCAAUGCACCAUUGGUGAUCUAGGUGUGCAGGUUGGUUAAGUGUGCUAUGUUAUGCGCUGUGUUAGAGGCAUGUUAAGUGCACUAUGUGUGAUCUAGGUGCACAGGUUGGUUAAAUGCAUUAUGUGGUGUGCUAUAUUGGAAGUGCGCUAUGUGGUGUACUCUGUUGGAGGUGCAUUAAGUGCACUAUUUGGGGUGUGUUGUGUGGUGUUUAUUUAUUCUGUCUAUGGUGUUUAUUUACUUUGUCUUUUGCUUAUUUAUAUUUACAUUGUAAAUAUUUAAAUGAUUGUUCAUUUACUUUAAAUUUAUAAUAUAAAUAACAAAAUACCCAUCAUUUGAAUCCUGUAAAAAUACUUUCAAAAUCUAGUUCUAAGUAAAUUAAAAUUUGAUUUUCCAUUUUUAGUUAUAAAUUGACAAACUUUAUUGAAUUUCUUUGAAAAAAAAAAGUUUGCUUAGGUAAAUUACUAAAAAUUAAAAACUUAGAAAAAAUUAUUUUGAGUAUCACCAACAUGAAAACAAAAAAUUAUGUCACUUUUUAUCUUAAAUGUUGAAACUUUUAAAAAUGGCUUAUUUUUCAUACUCGGUGAAAGUUUUGCACAACUAAGACAACAUACAAGACACAUUUGAAAGCUCUCUACUAGACAAUGUUAUCUAAACUGUAAAAGUAAAAUUUUUAAAUCUAGAAAUUGCAAAAUAAAGUAUUCUUUUAUUGUUAUCAUUUAGACAUAUAUAUAUAUAUAUAUAUAUAUUUAAGUAGUUGUUAUUUGUACAUUAGAAUUAAAAUUUUUGAAUAUGAAAAUAAAUGAUUAAUCCACCAUAUUCGACAUAUUAUAUUAUGAUUCUUUAAUUCACAUUUCAAAUUUUAGAGUUAUGGGUUAACCCCGUUGUAUUAUAAUUAAACUAUUGUUUUAGAAAUUGGGGUGUAACAACACAAUAGGUACAAAGUUGAUAGAACUUAUAACCAAAUGUUUUAUAUAAAUUAUAGAAACCUUGAUUGAGAGGGCUUCCUUGAAAGAUAGUAAAUUCACUUCUCAUCUUGAUUGAAUGUGAAAUUGCUAUCUUAAAUAGAUGAAAUAUGAAGCAACUAAAAUAAGGAUAAGUAAACAAAGGAAGUUGAUUUAAAACAGAUUAAGACGAAGAUAAAAAUUAUUGGAAGUACUAGGUAUUAUGGCUUUAUUAAAAGCUCUCAAAAGAAUUACACAUCCAAAUACAUAUAUAAAAGAAAGUUGCUCAGUGAGAUGCCUUAUGGCUUUCUCUCUAUUACCAAAUCUACCUCAAGAGUUGGGUAUUCAUACGUCUUACCUUAAAAAACAAAAAAUCCAAUAAGUAGUUAUGAUGCCAAAGUCUAAGGAUAAUAUCUUUACAGUAAAAAUAAUUUUAAACAAAGUUUAAUAAUAAACUUGACUUGAGAAAACUUUAUAUAAACCAUGAUAACAUACUUGAAAUAUUUUAAUAGAAACAUGGAAUUAACAGUUAUAUAUAUGUUUGCACUCAUAUGAAUUAUGAAAAUGUAUUAUCCCUCAUGCUCCUCAAUUUGUUCAUAUCAUAACUAGUUAAUUUGAAAUAAUCAACUACUAUGACACACAUCCAUUUCAACAUGAUUAUUAGAUAAAUAGAAAUAAUUACUACAAUUCCUCUCUAUCUCACAACUUGAAGAUCUAUGUAGAAAAAAAAAAAGCAAGAUAACAUUUCAUGUAAAUUUGUUUAUAUUUCAUAAUAACUAUAAUUUGUAAUCAUGGUAAAAUAAUAUCCUCAAAAUAGACUGUUGUACAACAUAGGUUAAUCCCAUUAUAUAAAGAACUUUCCAUUGGGUGUAUAGAUAGUGCUUAUUAGUCUUUAAAUAGCAAACACUGAGGGAUUGUCUAGUUGGCAUUUUUGAAAACAGUUUUGGAAAACAGUUUUUAAGAACGGUUUUUAAGAAUAGAUUUUUGUGUUUUCAGAAACAAAAUUAUGUUUGACAACUAAAUUUUGAAAAAUUUAAAAAAAAAAUGUUUGAUUGAGUUAAUAAAAACAAUUUUUCGAAAUAAGUAAAAAAAAAAAAGUUGUAUUUUUUUUAAUUAAGUUUUUUUUCCAAUAAACUUAACAUUGUAAAUAUAUAAAUAUUUUUUUCACUUACUUUUUUUCUCAUCUUUUGAGUAUUCAUUGGAUAACUCUCCCUUCAUAUCACCUUUCUUAGUCUGAAAAAUAGAGCCACUUCUCUAUAUGUUUUUCAUAAUCCCUCAAAAUAGUCAUGUUUUUCUCUGUUAAUAUAAAGAACAUGUCAUCAUUGUCAUCAUCAAUUGCGACAAGCAAGUUUGCAAUGAUGUUGCAUCAAAACAAAUAUAAGAUCACACUUAUUCUCAUCUAUGAUGUUCUUGAAUGGAUUUUGAUCAUUCUUCUAACUUGCAAAAUUUUAAAAGAAGUAAAGUUUUAAAUUCAAAAAUUGUAAAAUAAAGUAUUCUGCUAUUGUUAUUAUUUGGAAAUAUAUAUUUAAAUAAAAAAAAUUGGUCGUUACUUGUACAUUAAAAUUAAAAUUUUUGAAUAUGAAAAUAAAUGAUUAACUUACCAUAUUACACACAUUGUAUUAUUAUCCUUUAAUUUACAUUUCAAAUUCUAGACUUAUGGGUUAAUCUCAUUGUAUGAUAACUAAAUCAUAGUUUAUGAAAUUGGGAUGUGAUAGCACCAUAGGUACACAGUUGACAGAACCUAUAACCAAACACUUGAUAUCAAUUAUAGUAACCUCGAAUAAAAGGACUUCCUAGAAAGAUGGUGAGUUGGCUUCUCAUCUUAAUAGAUGAUGAAAUCGCUAUCUCAAAUAAGUAAAAUAUAUAGCCACUAAGACAAUGAUAGACAAGGGAAGUUGAUUUAGAAAAAUAUAACGAUUAAGAUAAAAGUAUUGGAAGUACUAGGUCAAAAGAAUUACAUUUCUAAAAACAUAUAUAGAAGAAAGUUGCUCAGCUGGAUGCCCUAUGACUUGCCCUCUAUUAUCGAGUCUACCUUAAGCGGUAGGCAAUCAAACUUCUCACCUAAAAAACAUUAGAGAGUUAUGAUGUGAAAGUUUAAGGAUAAUAUCUUUACAAUAAAAAUAUUUUUAAAUAAAAUUUAACAACAAACUUAACUAUAGAAAGCCUUAUAUGAACUAUGAUAACAUUCUUGAAAUAUUUUAAUAGAAACAUACAAUCAACAUCAAUAUAAAUGUUUGCAAUCACAUGAAUUAUGGAAAUGUAUUAUCAAUUGUGCUCCUUAAUCUGAUCAUAUCACAACUAGUUAAAUUGAAAUAAUAAGUUGCUAUGACACCCAUCCAUUUCAACAUGAUUAUCAAAUAAAUAAGACAUAAUAAUUACCACAAUGACUAUCUCACAACAUAAAGAUCUAUGUAGAAAAAAUAAAAGGGCAAGAUAACAUUUCAUGUAAAUUUGUUCAUAUUUCAUAAUAACCAUAAUUCAUAAUCAUGGUAAAAUAAUAUCUUCAAAAUGGACUAUUGUACUAUUGGGAUUGAACCUCUAAAAACAAAACAUGAUGUAAUAAAGUUAGACUUCACUAUCACUAGGCUAUUCAUUUUCUUUCAUUAACAUUGACUUGCAUGUAUUAGAAGUUGUAUGGAUGAUACAAAUCAUGGGUUCUUUGUAAGUAGAUAAGUUGUUCAUAGCUAGUUCAUGGAUUUAGAGUAUAAUAAAGGCAUAGUGUACUAGCUCAUAAUUGGAAGAAUGACUUGUCUUGGCCAUUAGGAUGUAUUUCCCAUGGUGAGUGUACUAGUGUAUGUCAUACAUAUUGAAUAAGAUUUAUAGUGAAUUAUGAUAUAAGGCUAUCGAUUGUCAUGAUUCACCAAAUUACUAUACUACAUGGACUCUCAACCUUAAGAGGAUAUUAAGCCUAUGCUAAAGUCAAUAGGAGGCUUUGGCCUAUGGAUGGGUGUAGACUCUCUAUUUUGUCUUCUUAGCAUAUUCCAUCUAGGAUUGCCUUCUUACAUCCUUUGAUGUCCUAUUGUACACUUAUGGUAAUUUUCUGAGCUAUUUUUUCCUCUUAAUUUUGUGUGGCAUGAAGAUUAACCAUUAACCUUUAUAUAUUUAAUUUUUUUAGAUAAUAGUGGAUCAUUGAAAUAUUUAUUUACAUUUUUUGUGAGGUCAUAAGAAAUGAAGGUUGGCGAGGACUAUACAACAAACUUAAGUCUUCCUUGCUUGGAAUUGUUGCUUCAUAGGUGAACAAAAUGAUCAUUAUGGUUUCUCAUGUUGGCUAUGGAACAUGGAUCAAAAGGAGAGUCAAAUUUGGAUAUCAUCAUCACCAUACAUUUGGAGAAGGUAGAUGACUUCAGCUAGGAGGAUCAUGUGGCAUUAAAGGCUUCUCCAUUAUGCCAUCACAUGUCAACCAUGAAAGAAGAUUCCAUUAUGAGGCAUCAGCUAGGGUCACCUGUAUUCAUUUCGGGUGUACAUCACAGCCUCACAAGAUCUUUAUUAAGAGGUUUUAGAAAUCUCCAAGAGCUUCAGAAUGAUCAAGGAAGAGUCACACAAUUGGAGUGGAUGAAGUCGUGCAUUUGGAGAGAGUUCUUGGGAGCAUGCACUUGGACCAUUUCUUGGAUUUUUGGAGGGAAACUACAACUGUCUUGAGAAGAUUUUGGAGGUUUCAUUUCUUGUUAGAGAAGGAUAAUGAAUUGAACACUUUUUUUCUAGGGUUCCAGGAGGAUUAAGGGCUUCUAAUAAUCGUCUAGCUCUAUAGCUUACCAUCUUCACACCAACAUUUUUAAGGAAGAUCUCCAUUGAUGCAUAUUGGUUCUGGAAAGCUUCAACAAAGAAUGUGUCAUUCUUUGUAAUAGUGAGCACCAUUUUUUUCAUAGAUGAACAUCACAUACAUCUCAAUAUUGACAUUGAUAAGAGAAUCAUCAGAGAUGUCAUAGCUCAAGAUCAUGAAUUUCUACAUUGAAUCAUCACCGUUACGCGAUGACAAUUAGAGAAGGCAAUUACCGAGCUUGGGAGAAAAUUAUAUUUGCUUCUUCUAAAAACUUGUCACGCCUCGAAUUCUUGGGAACCCAACAUUUGACUCGUGACCCCAAGUCAAAGGUUUGGCCCUAAGGGUUACUCCUAUCCAUGUUGAUAGUCAAUUAUGAUAACUUGAUUUUUCUUGAAUAAAUAAACAUCUAAUCCCAAAUAAAUUUAUUAAGAUUUACUAUAUGAUUUUUUUUUUUCCAAAACCAACCAUCACAUUGCACACAUUGCCUUCGUGGGUGGUGAUUAUAAGUGAAAGAAUAUGAUGCUUAAGGGAAAUAAUAGUUUCCACAUUGCACACAAAGGAAUAUAAAGUAGCUUGGGAGGAUAUUUGGUCAAGGUGUUGUAGAACAUUUUCGGUUAUUAGUAAUGAAAUUAUGGCGAGGGACACCUUAUUAAUAUAUGAUAUUAAUUAGAAUGAAGUUGACAAUUAUUUCAUUAUUCACUUCCUUGAGUUGAAAAGCUUUUGCCUAUCUAGAAGUGUGAUCUAUAACCACCAAUAGUAUGUGAAAUUAUGAAAUUCAAAUUUCAUUUUUAAAUAUAUAGAAGAUAUAACUUUUACCCUUUUAUUUGGUUGUUGACUUGGAAAUAGCUCUAAAAUGCGAUGUUCUUUUGUUUUUUGGUGUUAUUUUAAAGCUUUAAUUUCAUUUUAUUAAUUAUAGUCAAUUGAUUAAUUAAGUAAAUGAAUGUUAUAAAUUUAUAUAUUGAUAUAUUUGAAAAAGUUACAAAAUUCUAGUUAAAUGGAUGUUAUUAAUAGAUUUUUAUUUAUUAGUAUAGAUUUAUUUGUAAAAUGUUUAGGGAAUUGAUGGAUCUUAACUGUAUAUAAUGCUUAUUAACCCGAUAAACUUGAAAACAUAUUUACUAAUUUAAACCUUACCCUAGUUUAAUAGAAUGAGCUUAAAUGGGUUUGGAUUGACCAACUUGGGUUGAAUAUCAAGUUGGGUUGUACUUCGAUAAAUGAAUUUCAUUUAUGGGUUGAGUUUGGGCUUUAAUCAUCAACCCAAUCCGAUAGCCCAAAUUGUAUCUUUAGAUAAUAAAAAAUUCAUGAUGUUUGUUAUUUUUUAUAAUGUAUACUACAUGCAAUAUAGUAUCUCAAAUAAGUUAUAUUUUCAAAUUUUUCUUUAAAUAAAAAAAAUUGGUCAUUACUUGUACAUUAAAAUUAAAAUUUUUUAAUAUGAAAAUAAAUGAUUAACUUACCAUAUUACAUACAUUAUAUUAUUAUCCUUUAAUUUACAUUUCAAAUUCUAGACUUAUGGGUUAAUCCCAUUGUAUGAUAACUAAAUCAUAGUUUAAGAAAUUGGGGUGUGAUAGCACCAUAGGUACAAAGUUGACAAAACCUAUAACCAAACACUUGAUAUCAAUUAUAGUAACCUCGAAUAAAAGGACUUCCUAGAAAGAUGGUGAGUUGGCUUCUCAUCUUGAUAGAUGGUGAAAUCGCUAUCUCAAAUAGGUAAAAUAUAUAGCCACUAAGACAAUGAUAGACAAAGGAGGUUGAUUCAGAAAAAUAUAAAGACUAAGAUAAAAGUUUUUGAAGUACUAGAUCAAAAGAAUUACAUUUCUAAAAACAUAUAUAGAAGAAAGUUGCUCAGUUGGAUGCCCUAUGGCUUGCCCUCUAUUAUCGAGUCUACUUUAAGCGGUAGGCAAUCGAACUUCUCACCUAAAAAACAUGUGAGAGUUACGAUGCAAAAGUCUAAGGAUAAUAUCUUUACAAUAAAAAUAUUUUUAAAUAAAAUUUAACAACAAAGUUAACUUGAGAAAGCCUUAUAUGAACUAUGAUAACAUCCUUGAAAUAUUUUAAUAGAAACAUACAAUCAACAUCAAUAUAAAUGUUUGCAAUCACAUGAAUUAUGGAAAUGUAUUAUCAAUUGUGCUCCUUAAUCUGAUCAUAUCACAACUAGUUAAAUUGAAAUAAUCAGCUGCUAUGACACCCAUCCUUUCAACAUGAUUAUCAAAUAAAUAGACAUGAUAAUUACCACAAUGACUAUCUCACGACAUAAAGAUCUAUGUAGAAAAAAUAAAAGGGCAAGAUAACAUUUCAUAUAAAUUUGUUCAUAUUUCAUAAUAACCAUAAUUCGUAAUCAUGGUAAAAAUAAUAUCUUCAAAAUGGACUAUUGUACUAUUGGGAUUGAACCUCUAAAAACAAAACAUGAUGUAAUAAAGUUAGACUUCACUAUCACUAGGCUAUUCAUUUUCUUUCAUUAACAUUGACUUGGAUGUAUUAGAAGUUGUAUGGAUGAUACAAAUCAUGGGUUUUUUGUAAGUAGAUAAGUUGUUCAUAACAAGUUCAUGGAUUUAUGCUGUAUAAUAAAGGCAUAGUGUACUAGCUCAUAAUUGGAAGAAUGACUUGUUUUGGCCAUUAGGAUGUAUUUCCUAUGGUGAGUGUACUAGUGUAUGUGAUACAUAUUGAAUAAGAUCUAUAGUGAAUUAUGAUAUAAGACAAUUGAUUGUCAUGAUUCACCAAAUUACUAUACUACAUGAACUCUCAACCUUAAGAGGAUAUGCUAAAGUCAAUAGGAGACUUUGGCCUAUGGAUGGGUGUAGACUCUCUAUUUUGUCCUCUUAGCAUAUUCCAUCUAGGAUUGCCUUCUUACAUCCUUUGAUGUCCUAUUGUACACUUAUGGUAAUUUUCUGAGCUAUUUUUUCCUCUUAAUUUUGUGUGGCAUGAAGAUUAACCAUUGAACUUUAUAUAUUUAAUUUUUUUUAGAUAAUAGUGGAUCAUUGAAAUAUUUAUUUACAUUUUUUGUGAGGUCAUAAGAAAUGAAGGUUGGUGAGGACUAUACAACAAACUUAAGUCUUUCUUGCUUGGAAUUGCUGCUUCAUGGGUGACUAACAAAAGGAUCAUUAUGGUUUCUCAUGCUGGCUGUGGAACAUGGAUCAAAAGGAUAGUUAAAUUUGGAAAUCAUCAUCACCAUACAUUUGGAGAAGGGAGAGGACUUCAGCUAGGAGGAUCAUGUGGCAUUAAAGGCUUCUCCAUUAUGCCAUCACAUGUCAACCAUGAAAGAAGAUUCCAUUAUGAGGCAUCAACUAGGGUCACUUGCAUUCAUUUUGGGUGUACAUCACAGCCUCACAAGAUCUUUAUUAAGAGGUUUUAGAAAUCUCUAGGAGCUUCAGAAUGAUCAAGGAAGAGUCACACAAUUGGAGUGGAUGAGGUCGUGCAUCUAGAGAGAGUUCUUGGGAACAUGCAUUUAGACCAUUUCUUGGAUUUUUGGAGGGAAACUACAACUGUCUUGAGAAGAUUUUAGAGGUUUCAUUUCUUGUUAGAGAAGGAUAAUGAAUUGAACACUUUUUUUCUAGGGUUCUAGGAGGAUUAAGGGCUUCUAAUAAUCGUCUAGCUCUAUAGCUUACCAUCUUCACACCAACAUUUUUAAGGAAGAUCUCCAUUGAUGCAUAUUGGUUCUAGAGAGCUUCAACAAAGAAUGUGUCAUUCUUUAUAACAGUGAGCACCAUUUUUUUCAUAGAUGAACAUCACAUACAUCUCAAUAUUGACAUUGAUAAGAGAAUCAUCAGAGAUGUCAUAGCUCGAGAUCAUGAAUUUCUACAUUGAAUCAUCACCAUUACGCGAUGACAAUUAGAGAAAGUGAUUACCGAUCUUGGGAGAAAAUUAUAUCUGCUUUUUCUAAAAACUUGUUACGCCUCGAAUUCUUGGGAACCCAACAUUUGACUCGUGACCCCAAGGGUUACUCCUAUUCAUGUUGAUAGUUAAUUAUGGUAACUUGAUUUUUCUUGAAUAAAUAAACAUCUAAUCCUAAAUAAAUUUAUUAAGAUUUACUAUAUGAUUUUUUUUUCCAAAACCAACCAUCACAUUACACACAUUGCCUUUGUGGGUGGUGAUUAUAAGUGAAAGAAUAUGAUGUUUAAGGGAAAUAAUAGUUUCCACAUUGCACACAAAGGAAUAUAAAGUAGCUUGGGAGGAUAUUUGGUCAAGGUGUUGUAGAACAUUUUCGGUUAUUAGUAAUGAAAUUAUGGCGAAGGACACCUUAUUAAUAUAUGAUAUUAAUUAGAAUGAAGUUGAAAAUUAUUUCAUUAUUCACUUCCUUGAGCUGCAAAGCUUUUGUCUAUCUAGAAGUGUGAUCUAUAACCACCAAUAGUAUGUGAAAUUAUGAAAUUCAAAUUUCAUUUUUAAAUAUAUAGAAGAUAUAACUUUUACCCUUUUAUUUGGUUGUUGACUUGGAAAUAGCUCUAAAACGCGAUGUUCUUUUCUUUUUUGGUGUUAUUUUAAAGCUUUAAUUUCAUUUUAUUAAUUAUAGCCAAAUGAUUAAUUAAGUAAAUGAACGUUAUAAAUUUAUAUAUUGAUAUAUUUGAAAAAGUUACAAAAUUCUAGUUAAAUGGAUGCUAUUAAUAGAUUUUUAUUUAUUAGUAUAGAUUUAUUUGUAAAAUGUUUAGGGAAUUGAUGGAUCUUAACUGUAUAUAAUGCUUAUUAACCCAAUAAACUUGAAAACAUAUUUACUAAUUUAAACCUUACCCUAGUUUAAUAGAAUGAGCUUAAAUGGGUUUGGAUUGACCAAUUUGAGUUGAAUAUCAAGUUGGGUUGUACUUCAAUAAAUGAAUUUCAUUUAUGGGUUGAGUUUGGGCUUUAAUAAUCAACCCAAUCCGAUAGCCCAACUUGUAUCUUUAGAUAAUAAAAAAUUCAUGAUGUUUAUUAUUUUUUAUAAUGUAUACUACAUGCAAUGUAGUAUCUCAAAUAAGUUAUAUAUAUAUAUAUAUAUAUUAUUGUGAAAUGUGCUUGCAAAUAAAAUUAUAGGAAAACGUAUUAUGUGUGCAUUGCAUAUAUUAUAUGUAGUGUUGUUAAUAUUAUCUAUCCAAAAAAAAUUACAAUUUAUUUUUAGGGUUAUUUGUUUAAAAGUGCCAAAAUAAGGUGGUAUUUGGAAAAAUGACCUCUAUCUUUUUAAAACCUGAAAAAUAACCCCUUUUGGACUAAAUUACCCCUGAAAAAAAAAAAACCUUUGAAAUUCAAAAGAGCAAAAAGGAAGAGAAAUUCAAAAGAACAUAAAGGAAGAGAAAGAGAACGAACCAAGGGUUCUCCCUUGAAUGGUAGACUACUGCACACUCUAUGGUCUUCUGAUAUUUUUUUUUUUGUUUUUUUUGUUUUUUUUUUGCAGAUUUGCAUAUUGUUGUUUAUUAUCUGUGUAAAAAGAUUCUAAAAGGAUAUUCAUUUGAUUGAAGUGUGAAUUUUUUUUCUCCAGUUUAUCGAAAAACGCGGGAAAUGAAGAGAACGAAAUGAAGUGGAAAAGAACAGAAAAUGAUCUUGAAAAAAAGAAAAACCUUUGAAAUUCAAAAGAACGGAAAGGAAGAGAAAGAGAACGAACCAAGGGUUCUCUCUUGAAUGGUAGACUGCAACACACUCUAUGGUCUUUUGAUUUUGAUUUUAAUUUUUUUGUGCAAAUUUGCGUGUUGUUGUUGAUUAUCUAUGUAAAAGGAUUGUAAAAGGUUAUUCAUUUGAUUGAAGUGUGAAUUUUUUUUCUCCCGUUUUUGAAAAAACACGAGAAAGAAAAAGAACGAAGUGAAAGAGAACCGAAAAGGAUAUUGAAAAGUAUGUUUAUUACUUUGAAAUAGUUUGUUUUUUUAGAUUAUUCUCUUUGUUCAUUUCAUACAUUCGCUUAAGGUGUGUGUUUUCUUUCUGCAUGGUUUUAGAAAAAAUGUGGGAGAAAGUAAUGGGUUUAUACAUUCACUUUUUGUUAAGCAUAAAUAUAAGGGUUUUUCUUAAAUUUGUUAGCUUAUUCCUCUUUGAUUUUGAACUUUGAAAAUACAUUAGUCUACCAAAGAAGAUAUCUAGUUGAAUUGAAAAAAAAAAAAGUCUUUAAUUAGAUUUCUUUGCUAUUUUAUUUUGAUGUUUUGCUCUAGUUGUUAAGAUUUUGAAGCAUGAUGUUAUGGCAAAUGCUCUGUUUCUAUAGUGUAGAAAUCUAGUAGAAAAGUGACAAAUGUGUUGACCAAUUUGGUCUUCUAAAGAGUUGAAUCAUAAUCAGAGAAAUAAAAUUUGCCCCCAUUUUGAUAUCUCAUCCCUGGUGAUUGGAAGAAACAUUUCAUUUGUCCCAUAGGAAAAUGAAUUUGUUUCCUUAAACCCCCUAGGUAGAGAUAUUGAAGAUGUUGCUGAAGUAUUUUUCCAUGAGCAGUGUUGAAAGAAUGGUUUUGAUUUCUUUUCCAAAAUUCAAAACCUUUUUUUAGAGUAGUUUUGGCUUCUAUCAUAAAGUGAAAACAAUACUUCUUCUAUGAGCAUUCAUGUUAGUUAUUCUCCUUUUGUGUUGCUUAACUUUUAAGUAAUGGAACCAAUAUGAUAUACAUGAAUAGUCAUUCUUUUCUAUUAAUGACAAAAUUGGAGAUCAUUGUAGUCUUUUCCAAUUGGGUGUCUAGUUUUUUAGCAGUUUGGGAAAAAAAAUAUUUUCCUAUUUGUAGUUAUUUUCCCAAUGGAUAGGAAGUUGGUUUAACUGAAAAUCUCAAUUUUCAUCAAACAAUUUGCAUAUCUUGCCUAUCUAUAGUUUCCAUUUUGCUUGAAUAGAUUGAGAAUAAAUCUUUGUUUUCCCUUGGAUGUGAACCAACAUUAACAAACACCCCAUCAAGGUCUAAACCUAUUUUGCUUUUACUAGAUCAUAAGUGACAUUUGCUAAAUUUGGGACCUAGUUGGUCCUGCAAUGCAAACCACAACAUUGAAAUAGUAAUCUCUAACAAAAGUCAUGACAAAGAAUGAUCCUAACUAAGAACUGAAAUAUUAUUCAUAACUAAAAUAUUGAGUUAGAUGAUGCAUAUGCAUAGCCAAAAUACUUCUACCAUAUGCUUUCUAUAAGUAAGGAUGGUCCUUUAACAUUGCUAACAUCACAUUUUUUGUGUUCAUGCAGUGGUGAUUGUGGUAUUUUUUUUUUAUCAAAUUUGUAGAAUACCUGAUGCACAACCAUCCAAUGGAUACACUAAUAGGCAAGCGAAUGGAUUAGUUUCAUGAGAAGAUGACAAUGGAGUUAUUUUUGCAUAAAGAACUUCCUAUGUGAUCCUACUAUUGUAAAUGGAUUGUAAUUGGAUAGCGGAAGAUGUUUUUAUGUAAUGACAUUGAAGUUUUUUGUUUAGCAAAUUCCUAUAUUAUAGCAUGUAUUUAAAUAGUUACAUGUUUUUCAUACAUCCAAAGAAAUGAAUGGUUGCAAUUUUUUUUUUUUUAUAAAUGUGACUGUGUUAUGAUUGUUAACAGGUUUGAAUUUAUUGUAGUAAGCAUAAUAAUAGAAACUUAUAUUUCAAUGUAGAGCUCAUAUUUUUUUUGCUCAAACUUAAUGAGUGUUAAGUUACUUGUAAAAUAAACUUAACCCUAGUGCAGUUCAGGUGAACAUCCUCAAUUAAAACUUAACUCCUACUAAGUUAUUUAUUAAAAAAACUUAACUACAGUUAAGUUCAGGACAUUUGUUUUAAUUCAAACUUAAUGAGUGUUAAGUUACUUGUAAAUUAGACUUAACCCUAGUGCCGCUCAAGUGUAUAUCCUCAAUUAAAACUUAACUCCUAUCAAGUUCUUUAUUAAAAAAACUUAACUUUAGUUUCGUUCAGGUAUUUUUUUUUUUAACUGAAACUUAACCACUAUUAAGUUCUUUGGAAAAUAAACUUAACCCUACUAUAGUUUAGUUGAAUAUCCUCAAUUAAAACUUAACUCUUACUAAGUUCUUUAAUAAAAAAACUUAACUUCACUUUCAUUCAGGUAAGUUUUUAUAACUUAAACUUAACCAUUGUUAAGUUCUUUGUAAAAGAAACUUAACCCUAGUGCAGUUUAGGUGAAUAUCCUCAAUUAAAGUUAUAUAUAUGAAUGAUCUCAACAUACAUAAUGUGUCUGAUCUUAACAUCAAUAAAAGAUUAAAACAUCUCCAAAUAUGUAUGAUCAAAUACUAACGAGACUAGUAUUCCAAAAAAAUAAAGAGUUCACUUGUCAUUUUGAAUGAGUUGGUAUUGAGGAAUGAACUUAAACCUCAUUUUUAAGUUUUAAGUUCAUCAUUCAAUUAAAAAAGACUGAAUCAAAGUACGAUUACAUGUUUUGUGCCCCAAUUCACAAUAUACAAAAAAAAUUACAAUAUCAAAUCUUUUAUAUGCCCAAUCAUCAUUUACAAAAAACAAAAAAAAAAUGACCAUAAAGUUGGCUUAGUGAUAGUUUUAUUCAUUCUUUGAUUGUAAGAGCAAUCUUGCAUGCCUAUUUCAGUGUGUCCACUAUUAUCAUUCUGAUAAUGCAGGGGGGUGGUCAUUUGCAUGACUUUCGAUUAUGACCAUAAUCACCACAUCGACCACACCGCCAUCUAUGCUUACCCUCUCUACCCGAAGGGAUUCUUUCCUUCCUUGGUCUUCCUGUUGGCCGCCUUGUUUUCGGUGGUAAUACAACUCUACUGCUUAUAUCAUCAGAUAUCAUCCAAUCCCUUUGAUGUCUAGGAGGAUAGAUGGACUCAGCAUAUGAAGAUAAUAAUGAGUUCAUUGUGUAAUAUUUGGAGCAUAAAGGAUAACAUGACAUAUGUGCAUAUCUACAAGCAACAAUAGCAUUUGAACAAGGUAUGUGAUCAAGAUCAAAAUGUCGACAUGUGCAUGAAUGAUUAUGUAAAUUUACAUGAUCAUUGACACCAUUAUAUUUAACAUUAUACUCCUUUGAGUUGACUGCUUCAACUUCAUAUGUUGAUGUUGUAUUGUACCUUACACGAAGCUCUCCAUCAGCUCAUGUUGUUAGCUCAAUUGUCAUUGACAAUGCUUGUUGUUUACGGUUUGCAAACCAUUUUUGAAGUAAAUAUCUUAACUCUUCAAUUAACUGCAAAAUAGGAAGAUCUCUUGCAUCUCUUGAAUAUUGGGUCCAUAUUGAUUUCUUUCUCAACCCCAGAUAAAGUAUGAGAGCCAAAAUUAGUGUUGAUGAUUGAUUCAUACCCAUGAUUGCCACUUAUUUUCUUUAUUGUGAUAUAUAAUGGAACUGGCAACUUACCAUCAGUUCAAUUUAAACGAAUAAAAAUUUUCACAUUUCCAUCUCUUCUUAACUGUAUAGGAGUGGAUGGUAUAUUGCCAUUGAAUACAUACUUCAUUGAAAGAUUGUGCUCUGUUGGAUCUACUUUCAAAAUGUGACAAACAAUCUUCAAUAAUUCUUCAUAUGUUGUAGUCUUCUUAAGUUCAAUACCUUUACCUUGGCAACCUUCAAAGUAGUACGUAUUUCCAUUUUGCACCCAAUCUCCUUUAUACAAAAGCAUUAUUCCCACUUCAUCAAUCACUGUAACAAAAAUAAAUAAAUAAAUUGAAUUAUUAAUACAAAAAAACAAUAUUAAAAUAGUAGUUAUUUGGAUAAGUAACUCAAUCCCGCAAAGUUGUCAAUUAACAUGUUGAACUAUACUAAACUAUCUUCAAGUUUUAUAUAUAAAGAACUUAACACUAGUUACGUACAGUUUUUACAUGUUAAAUAUGAACUUUACUCUUUUCAUACAAAUCUUUUUAACAAAAAAUUUCACUCAUGUUUACUCUAAAAUUUUCAUUUUUUUCCUUACAACCAAAUAAUGUUGAGAAUAGCAAAACUAAGGUAAUUUUUUUCCCAAAUGGGUUUACAUACCUUUAUUCGACCUCGCCAUAUGUUUUUCUUUAAAUCUACUCUGCUUCUAUUACCUCAAUUUUGAUGGUGGGUUAUAGUAAUGGUGUAUAGGGAUGUACUCACAAUGUUAGUGAGAGAUAUGCAUAUAGAUGUACUACUAAUGAGAGAGGUAAAACUAAAAUGUUUUGCUUUUGGAGAGAUAUCAUGUCUUUGGUGGGAGACUUACUCUUAUUUGUUUCUCUACUCUUUUCUGCUUCUCUUCACUCAGUUUUAUUGGUGGGUUACAGAGAUGGUGUAUAGGAAUGUACUCACAAUGUUGGUGAGAGAGAUGUAGUACCAAUGAGAAAGGUGAAACUAAAGUUUUCUACUUUUGGAGGGAUAUCAUGUAUUUGGUGGGGAUCUUAUGCGUUUUUUGAAGGAAAUAAAUAAGGGUAAAAAUGUCCAAAUUAGGACAUCUCUCAAAACAAUUAACUGGUGAGGUUACUUUUACAAUUUUACUUUUAUUUUGAGUCACCUAUCCAAAUAACCCUUAUUUUUAAUUAAAUCAGGGCGAACAAUAAUCUUGAAUGUUUUAAGUUGUGCGAACCGACUCUUAAGGCUACAUUUCGGUCAGCAAUAUAAACAAGGGUUUUGCCCAGAGCUAUGAAUGGUGUAACGUAUCUAUGUAAAAGGCUAGUCAUGAGACAGAUGACAAUAUAUGACAUAUCUAUUCUUCCAUUUUCCACCUCAUUACAAAUGGCAGCACUCAUCACAGACGAAUAACUAUCAUCAAAGACUGGGGACCUAAACUAACAUAGUCUUAUACAUGGAAGAAAGUAUCGGAAGUUAUGAAAACGAUAUUUCUGUUUUGGAGAAAUUUCAGGCGAUAUUUUGUUAAGGGGAAAAUGUUUGGGGUUCAGGCCACCUUACCACCAGGGCAAGUUUCCCUCUUGUUAAAUAAAAGACACUAAAAAUAUAUAUUCAAAAUUGUCAUAUAAAGAAAAUAUUAAAAAAAUAUUUUAAAGAGCAAAUUAAUUAUAAUUAUUUUAUAAUUAAAUGAAAAAAUUUCUUUUAAUUGAUUGCCAAAAAUAUAAAAAUUAUCAUGAUAAUUUCCUUCAUAGUAUUUUUAAUAUCAUUAAUAGAUUAAUUAAAUAUUAAAAAAAUAUUCAUAUAUCACAAUUUAUUUUAUACAUUUAAUACAAUUGAAUUAAAUGAAUCAUAAUUUUAAUAUUAAUAUAUAUUUUAAAAUUAAAUAUAUUAUAAUCAAAUAUCAUAAUAUGUGAUCUAAUUUAAUAAUAAAUAUACAUUUAUAAAAUUCAUAUUUUUAUCGAUGCAUAUGAUAUUAUUAUCAAAUAUGAUAAAUUAUAUUAUACAUAUAUCAAAUUCUUUAAUAAAACGAUUUUAAAAUAUAUAUUAUAUUUUUAUGAAGUUUUUCUUAUAUUUUUAUAAAUUUUGAUCAAUUUUAGGCUUAUUGAUAUUUUUUUUCCAAAAUAUCCAUCAAUAUAUCCGUAAAAUCGAAAUACCGACGAUAUAUUCGUGAUUACCGAUAUUUUUAUCCUUGGUCUUAUACGCCUACCAAACGAAAACUUCAGGCUUUAUUAAUGGAGUCCUCCCAAGCUAAUAGCGCUGUGAAGCAGACACAUGACUAGAAACCAUAGUCAUCCAACCACACACAUUUAAAAUCAACAAGAGUAUUUAUUAAAGAGAGACCUAACUUUACUCAAGCUUUGUAACACACCUCCCCAUCACAUUUCCAUCCUUCUCCGGGACUUGCCUUCUCCAUCUCAUCGUCUUUGGUUCCUUUGUCUUCUUCCAGUGCGCACUUGGGGUGGAGAUCGAAAUCACAUUCUUCACAAUAGAAUGACCACAAGUGUCCCUGCUUCUCACACCCAUUACAUCCAUAAACGCGACGCUUAGUGAGCACAAGCUCAUGCUCUUCAUGAAGGGCAUGUUUCAUCUUCUCAGGCCACCCCUUUGCCAUCUCCUCAUACUGCGCCUCGAUCUCCUUUAUAUGUUCUUCAGUGAAAGGAUAAGCAUCAGCCCCAUGAAUCAUAACAAGAUUUCUGGCUUCUGUUGUGACAGUCCGGCCAGUUGGCCCAAUGGCUAUGAGCGAGGGGAUGCCAUGGACCUUGAACGUGCGACUCAGGGAGGCCUUCCUUUUAUCCCCAAACGGAAGUGCCAGCCAUGGCAUACCUGAAAAGAAUUCAUCGAAGGAGGUCUGGUCCUUGUCACUAGAGAUGAAAAUCACUUCGAAUGCUUCAUCCUUUGUCUUAAUCUUCUGGUAUGCUUCAAUAAGUUUUGGUAGAAAAGCACGGCAUGGGGGGCACCAAUGUGCUGAGAAUAUAGGAGAUGUUCUUCCCCACUAGAUCAGACACGGGAAUCUGAANNNNNNNNNNNNNNNNNNNNNNNNNNNNNNNNNNNNNNNNNNNNNNNNNNNNNNNNNNNNNNNNNNNNNNNNNNNNNNNNNNNNNNNNNNNNNNNNNNNNUACCUGCGAGGAUUUGAGAUUGGAGAGUAGCAGAGGAAAAUAGGGCUUUUUAGGGAUUCUCUCGCUGGAAGACACCUUCAGAAAAGGGUUCUUGAUGCCCGAGAGAGAAGUGGGUGCCUUUUUUAUUUUUUUUUAUUUUUAGAUUUAGGGGAGAUAAAAAAAUAAAAAAUAAAAAAUAAAAAAAACAUGAGAACAAUUUUCUAUAAAUAAUUAUUAAUUUUCAACUUUUAUUUGGAUUAUUAAAUAAAUUUAUAUUAAUAAAAAAAGUUGUUAUCACAUUUUUUAAUAAAUUUUAAAAAUUAAAUCUCAAAUAAGAUAUUUUAUAUAAAUUAAUUUAAUUUAUCAUUUAAAAUAUAAUAAAAUAUAUAAAAAAAUCAUGAGAACAAUUUUCCACUCUCUAUAUAAAUAAUUAUUAAUUAUCAACCUUUAUUUUUAUUAUUAAAUAAAUUAAUAUUAAUAGAAAAAGUUAUUAUCACAUAUUUUUAAUAAAAUUUUAAAAAUUAAAUCUCAAAUAAGAUAUUUUAUAUAAAUUAAUUUAAUUUUUCAUUUAAAAUAUAAUAAAAUAUAUUUUAAUAAAAAUAUUUUAAAAAUUUUAAAAUAAAUACUGUCUUCAACAAGAUGAACUCCCUUCAUCUAAUAAUAUAUUGAAACUACAUCGAUAUCUUUCUUAGUAUAAAGACUAUUGCAAUCUCAUAUUUCUUAACUCAAUUUUAACUUUAUACACUUUCAAAAUUCAUAUAUAUUAUUUUUAAAAUUCAAAUAUCGAAUCUACCAAUAUAUCUCUAUUUACGAUAUUUUUCCUCUUAAUUAUAUAUAUAUCAAUUACACUUACAAGAUAACUUUAAAAUGUGUAUUCUUACUUAUGUUAUCAUUUUUUGAAGUUUUUUCAAACAUUCAUAUUAAUUUUAAAUAAUUUUCACUCCACCGAUAUUUAUGAAAAAAUAUCCACCGAUAUUUCUCCGAUAUUUCCGAUAUAUCCGUAAAAUUGAAGUACCGAUAUAUCUGUAAAAACCGAUAUUUCAAUCCUUGAUCAAGAGAAACAAUAUUUCAAACCCAAUCUAAUAAGUCCAAACAAAUAACAAUUUAACAAUAGACCCAAAUCCAAAUAAACAAUAUGCAAUUGAUAUAAUCUAAAUAUUCUCAAAUUAAUCACCAAAUACAAUAUGCCCAUAAACCCAAAUUAACAAAUUUUAAAUUAAUUCACUAACAAUAAAUUAAAUCAAAUUAUGUAUUAAUCUACCAACAACAAAUUAACUCAAAAUUUCAUAAUAAUUGAAUAAUCCAAAUUUCAUAAACAACAAUUACUACUAAAAUAAAAUAAAAUAACAACAAUAACAAUAAUAAUAAUAACAAUAAUAAUAAUAACAACGAGAACGGAUGAGAUGGGAAGGGGGUUGCCGGCCGCCAGUGGAGCGAGAGAAAAAAUGGAGAAAAAAAAAGAGGGAAGGAGAAAAGGAAAUGGGAGGCUCGGCCACCUAAAAAAUGGAAAAGAAAAGAAAAAAAACAAAAUCCAAAGGGAGAAAUGAGAAGAGAGAGAAGAUAGAAGAUAUGAAAGCGUGGGUGUGUGGCCGGCUUGGAAGGGAAGUGGAGUGUGGGGAGAGAGAAGGAAAAAAAAAAAAUCCAUGGGCCAUGUGUGUCUUCGGGUGGAGAAAAGAGAGUAGAAGAAUGAGGGGCCGAAGAAUGGAGGUGGGGGCGGCAGAGAAAAGGGUGGAAAAUAGGAAAAAAGAGAGAGAAAAGAGGAGAAAAAACGACAGAGGAAAAAGGAAAGAGAAGAGAGGAGGAAAAUCUUGGGACAAAAUGAUGGGGGGAAAAGAAAGUGGGGGGAAGAAUGGGAAGAGAGGAGGGCCGAAGAAUGGAGGUGGGGACGGCAGAGAAAAGGGUGGAAAAUAGGAAAAAGGAGAGAGAAAAGAGGAGAAAAAGCGGCAGAGGAAAAAGGAAAGAGAAGAGAGGAGGAAAGUCUUGGGACAAAAUGAUGGGGGGAAAGAAUGGGAAGAGAGGAAAAUCUUGGGACAAAUGAUGGGGGGAAAGGAAAGUUGGUGGGUGGGGAGGUGAAAGAAUGGGAAGAGAGAGAAGAAGAAGGUGGGGUGGUUGGGAAAGAGAGAGGAGAGAGGAGAGAGAAAAGAAAAAAAAUAAAAAAUAAAAAAAUAAUAAAAUAAUAGUAAUAAUAAUAAUAAAAUAAAAGUAUUAAUAAUAAAAUAAAAUAAAAUGAUAUACAAAAUAAUAAAAUUUAUUAAAUGGUGAGUGAGCCAAGGGCUCAAAAUUAACGUAAAGAUAAAAUUCGGAUAAAUUUUGGGGUUUAUACAUGUAUUCAUCUUCCAACAACCAAAUCUUUCAUUUUUUUUUUUCAAAAAAAAAAAAAAAAUUAAAGUUUUAGGGUUAAAUCACCUUACCUUAAAUCCAAAAAUCUAACCAUUGAAACUAAAAUAUGAUUUUGUAGGAAUGUUCAUCGUGUUGAAUAGAAUAUUCUUAUAAAAUUUGAGGCAAAACGAAGAUCGUUUGAUAGGUUGACUAACGUACCUAAGUUGAUAGCCCUUUUUCUUCCGCUCCUAGUUGACCUUUUCUUUCUUUCUUUUAUUAUUUCAACCGACUACUUCAUUUUAUAUAUAUAUAUAUAUAUAUAUAUAUAUUAAUACAACUUUAAAAUACCAUGCUUAUCUCUUUUAAUAAAUUAAACCAUUAUCCUUUAUUUCAUAUUCCACAAUUAUAAAUUAUACUUCAUUUAUGAUUUUUUGUCUUAUAAAAAAUAUUAUUGUAUUCUUAAUUAAAUUUGCUACAAACUUGAUUUUCAAAAUAUAUAAUUUGACUUUAAUUAUCUAAAAUAUUUUGACUUUAAAAUUCACUUAGGACAUGAUUCUAUUGACUAUUAAAAAAAUCAAUUUCAUAAAAUCUCUUAAACAUAAAAUAAUUUUUCGACAUACAAUAAGUUGAAAUUCAUAAUAAUAUUUAACCCCUUGAUUUUAUCAAUAUUUAUUUAUCAACAAAAAUUUAAGCAUUAUUCUAAAACUUAGUUCUAUCAAUUAUUUAGUCAUUCAAUUCAUAAUAAUUAAAUUAAUUCUCAUAAUAUGCUUAAUAUUCAAAUUGUCAAAAUCUAAUCUCAAUUAUUUGAUGAUCAAUUUUUUUUUCAAAUUUAAAUUUAAUUUAUAAAAGUCUUACUUUUUACAUAUGACGUGGUAGAAUUUUCAAACUAUUAAUUUUUCUAAAAUAUCUCAUAAUUAAUAUUAACAUCGUGGAUCUUAACUAUUUUUUUUAACCAUUUGACUAACAAUUUUAUAAAAACUUUUCUAAUCCUGAAUCUUAGUGUCAUUAAAAACCUGGGUAUUACAAAACUAGAGAUCACCUCUGCAUCUGGCACUAGUGGUGCUCCACCCCAUUACAAAUGGCAACUCUCAUCACAUCACAAAUGAUUAAUUAUCAUCAAAGAUUAAGGACCUAUAGUAACAUAGUCUUAUACACCUGCCAAAGAAAACUUCAGGCUUUAUUAACGGAGUCCUCUCAAACUCAUUGUGCUAUUAAGCAAACACACAUGGCUAGAAACCAUAGUCAUCCAACCACACACAUUUAAAAUCAACAAGAGUAUUUAUUAAAGAGAGACCUAACUUUACUCAAGCUUUGUAACACACCUCCCCAUCACAUUUCCAUCCUUCUCCGGGACUUGCCUUCUCCAUCUCAUCGUCUUUGCUUCCUUUGUCUUCUUCCAGUGCGCACUUGGGGUGGAGAUCGAAAUCACAUUCUUCACAAUAGAAUGACCACAAGUGUCCCUGCUUCUCACACCCAUUACAUACAUAAACGCGACGCUUAGUGAGCACAAGCUCAUGCUCUUCAUGAAGAGCAUGCUUCACCUUCUCAGGCCACCCCUUUGCCAUCUCCUCAUACUGCGCCUCGAUCUCCCUUAUAUGUUCUUCAGUGAAAGGAUAAGCAUCAGCCCCAUGAAUCAUAACAAGAUUUCUGGCUUCUGUUGUGACAGUCCGGCCAGUUGGCCCAAUGGCUAUGAGCGAGGGGAUGCCAUGGACCUUGAACGUGCGACUCAGGGAGGCCUUCCUUUUAUCCCCAAACGGAAGUGCCAGCCAUGGCAUACCUGAAAAGAAUUCAUCGAAGGAGGUCUGGUCCUUGUCACUAGAGAUGAAAAUCACUUCGAAUGCUUCAUCCUUUGUCUUAAUCUUCUGGUAUGCUUCAAUAAGUUUUGGUAGAAAAGCACGGCAUGGGGGGCACCAAUGUGCUGAGAAAUAUAGGAGGAUGUUCUUCCCCACUAGAUCAGACACGGGAAUCUGAAACAAGAGCAAUUUGUCACUGAUAACAAGCAUAAUGAGGGAGAGUAUUGCAAACUGAAAAAAGGGACACAGGGCACCCUGUUGCAUCGAACAACAUCACCUUUUAACCAAGAUCCAAAAACAGAUGUUCACGCAUCUACUGAAAGCAGAUCUUACCUUGACUCCAUCUUUCCCUAUCACAAAGUCUCUGUCCCCUGAAACCAAAAUUGACUCCAGUGUCUGUGCUUCCCGUUUUGCCUUCUCAAUCUCCUCAAGCUCUGCAAACUUCUCUGGGGUAAAAGGGUAUGCCUGAAUCCCAUGUUCUUGGAUUGCCUCGGCAACAUUGGAGUGAAGAGUCUUUCCAUCUGGCCCAAUAACAACCAAAGUGGGCAGGGCUGAGAGCUCAAAGUAGCGAGCUAGUUUCUCACAGCUCUUGUCCCUGAAGGGCAAUGCAAGCCAAGGCAUGCUUCCAAAAUAUUUUUUGAAUGAUUCUUCCUCAUCAUCAAGUGAUAUCAUGACAAUUUCAAAGCUCUCCCCCUUUGCCCUUAAUUUCUCGUAAACAUCCACUAGCGUUGGAGUAAAUUCAAGGCAUGCCUUGUAGGAAGACAAUGAGAAAAACAGCCCAACGAACUUCCCUUCUAGUUCAGACACAGGCACCUUGUAUUGAAAUAGUUCAAGAAAAAAUUCAGACCAGGAAGAAACAAUAUAAAUCAUGUUCAAAUUCAUAGAUAUGAGAAUAUAUAUUUCUUAAAUAACUCACCUUCUUUCCAUCAGUUGAAAUUACAUAGUCACGGGACUGAGAGACUAAGAUGGAUCUCAAGGAUUGUUCCUUCCUGGCUGUUUCUUCCUUCUCUUUCAUUUCUUUGAUCUUUUCAGGAGUGAAAGGAUAAGCUUCCACUCCAUACUCUUGUAUGAUAUCAACCCCAUCUUCGCUCAAAACCUUGCCAGAUUCAUCAAGCAUCACAAGGUUUGGAAUCCCCAUCACCUUGAACAGUUCAUUCAACUGAUCUCGUGCAUCUGAAUCAGAAAAUGGGAUUGCGAGCCAAGGCAUCUUGGAGAAAUAUCCAUUGAACGACUCAUCAUCAUUAUCACCUGAAACAAAGAUGAUUUCAAAAUCAUCGUUGGAGGAGAGUUCAUUGUAGGCCUCAACUAAUUUAGGGGUGAACCGCCGACAUGGCCCACACCAUGAUGCUGAAAAAUAUAGCCAAAUUUUCUUCCCCUUCAAACUCUCAACUUUAACCUGCAAAACACAGAAUUUAGGCCCAUUAAACCCUUUGCUGCUCAAAACUGUUAACAAUAGUUACGACUCUUGGUUAAUUGGGUCCGGCUUCUUUUUCCCCCCUUAAUCAGAACCUGUUUCAGCUCCUUUUUCAUUAGGAACGCAUAGUUCCUUUCAAGCUUUCUUUUACGGUAGAAUAAAAACAGAGAAGAUGGGAAAUACCUGGUGGCCAUUGUUGCGGACAAGAAAGUCCCGAUCCUCUCUUGUGAGAAGCGAAACCAAAUCGUGAGCAACGCCAUCAACGUUUUCGCUAUCCAUGUCUUCUGAUUUUGAUCACAAUUUUUUAGCCUGUGCCUUUGCACUUUGGUGCCCAGCUUUUAUAGCAGCUAAGUCGAUUAGGGUUAAGCUAACCAUCCUUGAGGGUGAAGAAAACCAAAGUCGACGUUGGUGGUGUACGUCAGAUGCCCAACGUCAGCGUGGGCCGCGGUCCCCUCUAGGGAAAAAGACAUAAGUUGCGUGGCUGCAUAUCGUAAUGAUUGUACUAAGAUUCUCAAAGUUUAGAUAAGGAGAUAAGUAUUGAAGAAAGACGUGUUUCUCAUCCGACCUCAUGAGCUCGUAUUCCUGGUGACAAGGACCCACAGUCUCUCUUUCACCUGAUUAGACCCCAUUAAAACAUAAAUGAAAAGAAUAAACUGAGAAUCAUCUUGGAAGAUGCCCAUGAAAAGUGGCACGAACUUAUUUAAUUGCUCUCAUGGAAUAAGAAUGAAAAGAUUGUAAGUUAAUAGUUUAUAGUUCUUUUACUCAAAUAAUUGAGCUUAAAUUGAGCAUAAUGUAGGUACCUUGUUAGCAUAAAUUUUCAUUUCUUAAUAAUUAAACAAAGAUAUUUUUUGCUUGAAAAAACUUGAGCUUGAUCUAUGCAAGAACACAAACAUUUAAAGAUAUGACUCUGUUCUCUAACCUUGGAUAAUAUAGAAUACACAUGUUUUACUGCCCUAGGUAAAUCUUUAUGAUCUAAGGAGGAAUUCCGAGCGAAGUACCUUUCACUCGGCUUUGGCUGGAGCAAUGAGAGUGGUUAGGGAAAGUUGAUGGAAUCUUACAUCUCUCCUUGACUUAUAGUUGGUUUUGACCAUGAACCUUGGAUGGAAAAUUUUGGUAUAAAAGUGAAAAAAAAUCGUUGUUUCAAAAACCUCAUCGUGUCAGCAUCCUUUCCUGGUGGGGAAUUGAACCUGGGACUCAUGGUUAACAAAAUGAGUAGUACACCACUAUACUAAACAACAUUUAAUUAAUAAUUUGGUAAAUAUCUAUAGAUCUGUUUUUUUAAAAUUUUUAUCACAUAAAACAUUUAAACAAAUAUAAAUAUUUAUAUCUACUAUUAUUUUUAUAAUAAUGAUUAAUUAUAAGCAUGAAAAUAAUAUAAAUUAAUCAAUAUAAUAAUUUAUUAACAUAUAAAUUAUAUAUUUAUGAUGUCACUUAUCUGACCGCGAUUUGACCAUUGCUUCGAUUAGUGAAUCAGUAAUUUUUUCGAUUCAAUGUUCAGUCUGAUUUUGAAAACAUUGAGAAAAAACUCACUCUUAUGGAUUUUUUAUCACCUUACUUUAUUUAUUUUUUCUUAUUUUUAGUUUUAGGAGUAGGAGUAGGAUUAACUUAGUUUAGUUUAAUUUUAGUUUCAGUUGUAAUAUUUAAUUUUUAUAUAAUCUUUCAUUAUUAAUUUUCAUUGUAAUGAGCUUUUAAUUUUUAGUUAAUUUCAAUUUCAAAGUUUAGUUUUAAUUUCUAGCUUUCUUAUGGUUUGAGUUUCUAGAGAUUUUAUUUCUUUGCACCUUUACUUUCUUCUAGACUUUACAUUUCUUUCUUGCCUUCAAUUUCAUCACGUUUAGCACCAAGGGAUAACUGUGUAGACCCCUUAAAAGACUAAGGGUUUUUCCAGUUGGUUUGAGGGACCACUCGGGUGAUUUUUUUUGAAGCGAGGAGGGGACCCCUUUUCUGCCAUGAAGGAGCUGCAUUGGACACGUGGACACGGCAAGAGGUAGGGGCGACCAUGCUGGUUGUUGAGGAGCCUUGCUUACUUGAUGGGUGAACAGCAGAGCCGGUAAUGACUUGCCAAGGAAGACAGGAACAGGAGGUUUGAGAGGGAUUUUUUUAGAGAGAGAGGAGAGGUAUAGAAAAGGAGGAGAGGACUCUUUUCAUGGUGGCCGUGAUAGAGACUCGGAGCUGGGGGGAAAAAGGAGUUAUACUGAUCUGGGAGGAAGAGAAAAUACAGGAAGCUGAGUAAGCACUGCCUGAGAAGCUCAGGUAUGGCCAACAUGGAUUUCUUUGUUUUGGAUUUUCUUCAUCUUCCUUCUCUAUUAUUGCUGUGAUUUUGUUACAGUUGAUUCUGGUCACAUUCCCUGGAGUUUUGUUUGAGCAUGAACUGUCUCUGUUGCAGCUUUCUUAUAAAAUGUCUAAAUCAUGCCUGGGUCCUAGUCUAAAAUAUAUUGAUCUCACUCGCCUGCGUUUAAGUACAUGGAUUGUAAUAUGAAACGUGGCUUUUCGCUGGUUCAUUUUAUUUCAUUCUUUUAUGCUCUGUUUUUUGUUAUCUUCCCCUGUUCCGGGCACCCAUCCAUGGCAUACACCAAAUUUCCUAUCCUUACAUGGAAAGGGAAAGGUAAGGCACCGUGUGAAACACGCUCUCAGUCUGUGGGGUAUGUAGAUCUGCGUUCAUGAGUCGGUCAUGCCGUGGUAUCGAGUUCUCCUUUAUUGAGGGUAAACAGAGUUGGUGUCGCCAAGUGGGGAUGGGAAGGAUAUGUUGCUAACAGAGCAGCCCAAGAAAUGUUUCUUCAUCUAAGAACGAAAUCAUUCGCUGGAAAGUGUAUCAAUGAUCUCCACUGCUGUCUGUUUAGACACAAUAUGGAACGCCUGGUGGCGUAGAUAUUGACAAGGUGACCGAGCACCUAUGUGAAAACUACGGACGUACCAGACUUGAAAAAUCCAGCAUGGAUUUCUCUGGAGAAUGCAUGAUGCGCCUGUAGACAUUUCUGGGAAUUUCUGGCAGGUCCAGAGUUGAUAUUAACAACCCUCUGGCACUCUUAAUUGGAGAACACUAAGGUCCAAUUCGACUCUCCAUGCAAUGAGUAGCCUCUCUGAUGCUUAUGAAGAUCAUCUUCUGGGUACCGAACUCGCUGAAACCUGUUUCGGAGCUGGACGAUGGUCCUUGCAUAGGGUCACACUUGGAGAAUCUAAGUUCAGAGAGCCAUUCUUCAAGAUCAGCAGCAGCGAUAACGGCGCUGCAUGGGUACCAUGAUCAUCAACAGAAAUCAUUCCAUUGUUUGAAUGUGGGAACAUUUUUAACGAGAUGACCAUUUGCAAUUUACACGACCACCUCCCUCUCAUACCUAUUUUCCUCAUACUCCCAUCACACAACAAGCCAAACCAUUCCAUCAUUCCCCUCAGUACCUCCUGCAUGCAAAUCCAUUGUUCCCAAACCCAUUGCCCAUAGCCGAUACCUAUCUCACCAUAUUCUUCUCAUUUUUUUCUUCAAACCCACUGCUUAUACUUCGUGCAACCAUACCCACUGCUAUCCACCCGCGUACACAUCCACCUUUCAUAAUGCCCAUGCAUGUUGCCACCUUUUCUCUCUCUACCCCACAUACCCUUCAUACCCAUUUUCCCCCACUACCCAUUUCCUAUCUGUGUGCAUGGAACCAUGCGUACACGGCCACCCUCAUCCUCAUGUCCCUCAUACUCACUACCCAUAUCUCACCCCCUUAUGCAUUUCCAUUAUUUCCAUUACCCAGCAUGCCUAUAUUCUUCUCAUAAUGCAUCUAAUAAACCCAUUUUUUCUAAUUCCAUUUCUAUUACUUACCUCACCUAUCGUUUUUCCCAUCAUUCUAAUCAUUGAACUCACACAUCUCACUUCCUCUCACCACUUCCAUACCCACCUUUCAUAAUACCCAUCUUCACACCACCUUUUCUCUCUCAUACCCAUUUUUCUAACAUACCCGUCACCACCCGUUUCUCUCUCUAAACUUAUUCACACCCAUCUCCUGCACCCAGCAGCCGCAAACCACCCAUUUUCCAUCUCAACCCGUUCGGCUGUUCUGUGAUUGAUGGACCUCAUGGUGACAUGGGUCUCACGACUCUUAAAAAAUAGGUUUUCGUUGAAGAAGCUCCAUGUCGUUCUAUGGUAUUUGGAGGACGCCCCCCGCCCACGAGCAAGUAUUUGCUGAAGCCUUUUUGUUUCCCACUGAUGGCAUUAAUGUUUAAACAAAUUGGUGGAUAAAAGUUAAAGACACGAGUUUUUUAUAUUAUUUUUUAUUCUUCAUUGGUGGCAUGGUUCCAGCAGGCUUCAAGGUGGUUUAUUAUUAUUUUUUCUCUUUUCUCCCACGUGCCAUCUUCUUAAUUCCACUUUACAUGUUAAAAUUUUCAUUUUUCUGAAAGCCCUGUUAUCAAAUAAUUCUUUUAAAAAUCCCAACAUUUCAAAUUCAUUCAUUUAUUCAUUUAUUUUAUCUAUUUUAUUCAUUUAUUUUUUAUUUGUCUAUUUAUUUAUUUAUUAUUUUAUUUAAGAAUAUAUAUAUAUAUAUAUAUAUAUAUAUAUAUAUAUAUAUAUAUACACGUAUCAUUUUCAAAAUAAUCUCGUAAAAUGUGAUUUUUAAAUUUAUUUUAUGAAACUUCAGAUCUAACAUUCAAUUUUCCAAAACUCCAAUAUUUUAAGUUUAAUUUUUCAAAAUUCAAUUCUCGAAAUAAUUUUCUAGAACUCUAACUUUAAAUAUAAUUUUCCCAAAAUUCAAAUAUUCAGUUCCAAUAUUCCAAAAAUUUCAUUAUUCACGUUCAUUCGUUUAAACAUUAUUUUUGUUAAUAUUAUUAUUAUUCCAUAUUUAUUUAUUUAUUUCUUUUAAAAAUUUCGAUCAUUAAAGUUUAAUUAUUAAAAAAAUUCUGACUUCUGAAUUUAGUUUUCAAUCUAAAAAAUUUUCACUAUUCACAUUUAUUCGUUUAAACAUUAUUUUUAUUAUUAUUAUUAUUCCAUAUUUAUUUAUUUAUUUAUUUUAAAAUUUCAAAUCAUUAAAGUUCAAUUCUUGAAAAAUCUGACUGUCGAAUUUAAUUUUCAAUCUCAAAUAUUCCAUUAUUCACGUUUAUUCGUUUAAAUAUUAUUCUCAUUAUUAUUAUUAUUAUUAUUAUUAUUUCAUUCAUUUAUUUUACAAAUUCCAAUAAUUAAAGUUCAAUUUUUCAAAAUUUCGUUUUCCAAAUUUAAUUUUCAAUCUAAAAAAUUCCACUAUUCACAUUCAACUGUUUAAUGAUUAUUUUCGUUAUUAUUAUUAUCCCGUUCAUUUAUUUAUUCACUUAUUCAUAUAUUUAAAAAUCUCGUCUCCAAAUAAUUUCUCAAAAUCUCAAUCUUAAAUUCAAUCUCCUAUCUCUAAACUUCUAUUUUUGGCAAUUAUUUACCUAAUCUUUAUUAUUUCAUCAUUAUUAUUAUUUCACUCAUUUAUUUAUUCGCUUAUUUGUUUAUUAAAAUUUCGUCUUUAAAUAAGUCUUCAAAAUUCCAAUUCCCAAAUUUAGUUCUCUGAAAUUUCAAUUCCUUUCAAAUUUAAUUUAUAAAAUUCUCAUUCUUAUAUUUAAUUUCUAAAAAUCCAAUUUUCAAAUAAUCUCUAAAACUCCAAUUUUCAAAUAAAUUUCAAAAAUCCAGUUUUCCCUCAAGUAGUUUUAAUUUCUAUUUAGUGACACAUGUGAUAUGUUUUGUACUCUUUAUUAUACACUGACCCCAUUUUUAUGAUAGCGCAUUGUUCGUUCGUGGCCCAGGUAUGCAUCUCUUCCCAUUCUGGUCAUUCUCUAUGCAUGUUUUGAUUCCUAUGUGUGCAUGAUCGAUUUGAGUAUCCGUUGGUUUUCCUAUUGAUUACCCCGUCAGCUUCAUCUUAUUAGUAGAGAUCCGAUUUUAGGGACCUAGAGGGGUGCUAUGGUCUUUACCGUACUUUCCUGAUAAGUAACCUGAUUCUCGAGCCCGAUCUGGUUUUUUACAGACCACCUUUUUCAAAAUAAGGAGUCACACUUAGGGUUUUCUUUUUUAUUUUAUUUACUCUCUUAAAAAUAAAACAAAUAUAAGUGGCGACUCCAAAUCAUAUUUUUUUUAAUAAAUAAAAAUCAUUUUCGAAUAAAUAUCGAUCUUGUCAUCGAGUGGAAAGCGCAUAAACUGAAAUGCGGGGUCUACAAAAUGGCAUUAAGAUUCUUCCAUAUCUCAACUUAGCUCUUUGAUGGCUUAAAUGUGUUUAAAAUGGCAGAUGAUGAAUGUUGUUGUAGUGGUUACAAGGAUUGAAAGAAAGAAACCACGAGAGUAAAAGCUUGUAGCACCGGUUGCAAGAACCAGAAGAGGACAACUUAGGGAGCCAAUUGAAAUAGCCUUCUUGAGCAAAGCACAAACCUACAAGAUUGAAAUGAAACCCAUUUGUAGGGUGAGUUUAGUAUUGUUGAUAUGGUUCUUAUUCCAUAUGACUAGGAAUCUUUUGGUAUAGAUCCAUAGCUUGGAGGAGGAUUUGGGCUAGGAGUGAUGAUCUCAAUGGAUCUUUACUCUUGGUGUUUUACACGACCAUAGAAUGGUUUAGGACCCGGUAUCUCAUGGGCUGCAGAAAUAGGCCCAAUUGGCCAGGGUGUGCAAGGUCGCGGAAAUAAUCUGAUAGUCCCUUCUCCUUCGACAGUCCUCUUUGAAAUCCCAUUUCAGUAGCCCUAGACUCCGACGAUCCUACACCUUCAAAUUAAGGUAAAACAAAUUUCUCUCCCGUGUUAGAUUCUAAAAUCCCAUUUCUGAACUCCUUUUUUCUUCUCUCAUUUUCCUUUCUCCUCUUUCCACCUCUCCAUUGCAUCAAAAUCGUAAAUAAGAUGGAUUUGUUUCUAUUCAAAUCCAUUAUCAAUGGUUGUUAAAUUUUCUUUUUGAUUCCUUCAAUUUGAUUUUUAAUCUCUUGUUUAACAAAUCAUUUGAUAGGAAUUUUUGUGCUACCAUUUCAGUAGCAGAUUGCAUAUUCAUGUGGUGAUCACUCUUCACAAAAUCGUCAUUGUCGCUCCUCUGGUACUUCUUUUUUCAUUUACACGCGCUAAAUUUUCUCUAACAAUUUGUAUUCUAGGGUUACUCUGUUUUUGCUAUUUUAGUUUGCGAAAGCCUGUUUAUUUUGCUAUUGCAUUUGCUUUUGGGCUCUCUAGAGUUCUAUCACUCCUUUUGCCUUAAAAUUGCAGUUACCUUUAGGAGGAGUGGAAAGAGAGGCAUAAGGAAACUUCGGAAGAUAUAUCUUCUAAAUUCUUCAAUUCGCGAUUUGUCCCACUUGAGGUAUUAACUCUAGCCUUAGCAGGCAUAAAGAAACUGUUAAGACUUAUUUAUUGCGUUGCGAAAAGAGAUUAUAAGUGAGGAAUUGCCUUUAUGCUGUUUCUAGCAGCCUCCUUAUCAUAGGAAGGAAUGACUUUAUGAUGAUAUACAGAAAUGGCUAAGGGGGUUGAUUUAAAGGUUUUUAACAUAUAUGCAUUUAAUAUUUACUUUUGUUUGAUAUUCAGAUUGCAAAUUAUAUUUACAAAAUUUUGAUGCAAAAUAUUGUGGGAAUUUAGCAUAGAACUGGGAGCUGAUCAAGAAUGGUGAUCUUGAUUAAUAAUGCAGGUCAAAAGAUUUUGAGGUAGGGUUGUAGUUACUUGUCACAAUUUUGUGGGACUCUGUAGAAACUUUCUUAAAGAUAUGGAAAAAUUAACCUGAAUUUCUCUCUCAAGAUUUCAAAGGAGAUUACGAGCAGUUUUGUGAAAGAAAAUAUGUGGUCAAGUUUUGUUUUAUUAACCUGAAUUAUGUUUUUGUUGAAGGUUUUACAGGUUUUAAGGAAGAUAUCCAAAUUUAUUUCUGAUUUUCCUGUAGCAGCAUUUGAUCGUGUACCACUUUCAUAUUUAUCAGCUAAUUUCACUUUCAACACUGUUAACUACGUAGGUUUUUUGUAGAUAAGUGAUCAUGCAUGUGUCCAGAAUAGACAGUGGUUUUUUAUCCUUAAUCAAUUUGUUUGAAUGAAUUUACAUUUGAUAGGUUGCUGACUUGUAUGGAAUUAGAGCUAGCCUUGUGGAUGGUGGUGAAAUUUAUUAUCAUAAAAUCAUUGUUGUUUUGUGAUAGGUGAUUUAUUAUCGUGAAAUUUAUUACCAAAAGGCCUCUAUACUUCAUGUAUCUUGUGUCCCACCAAUAUCUGAUUCUGUAUUUUCUUCUUUGUGGAUGAUCAUAUCUCGGUAGCAAUGGGUUGCAACAGUUCAAUUUUUUUGGCUCCCAAGUUUACUAAAAUUAGGUUUUGUAUAUUAUUUUUUAACUGGCUUAUGGAAUAUAGAUUUCAGCACAUCAAUCCUGGGCCUCAUACUCUGUUUCUUUUAUUGUUUUCAAACUGAUCUAUGGUUUUACAUUUAUUUAACAGUUUUUUCUCCUAAAAAUAUGUUCAGAGAGAAACAUAAGCCACCAUACUGAUAUUUCCUGCUUAUUUUUCAAUCACCAUCUGGUUGUAGCCAUUUAAAGUCUGAAAUGUUGUCUGCCUACCUAUAGUAUAGGUUUCUGUCACAUUAUAUAGAGACAAAAUCCUUCCCUGCUUUUGGGGUUUAUUUUAAAAUUUAAAUGCUUCUCUAUUUGUAGGGAGGAAAAAUCCAGGACUUGCUUUUCCAAAUACUUGAACAAGAAGAGGAUGUCAUGAUAAAACAAGGUGCACAAUCUAGAGAGAGUCGACUAAUGGCUUCUAGGUAUGGUGCUCAAUCCAAAACUUAUUCAAAUAGGGCCAAACCAGCCUUUAAAAUGAGAUGCCUGUAUGUACAUUUAGCAACCAUAUAUGUUUCUCAACAAUGAUCAAUAUCUAUGCCCUAUAUUGCUGUAAUUGAAUUUGUUUUCUAUGCAUGUCUUGUUUGAGUUGUGAUGCAGUGGUUUAAUGAUCACCUGGAUUUCAUCCAAAGAGCAUGUUUAAAUCUUUUUUGACUGAUUGUGGUAUUGUUCAAACUUUAAAUCUUUCUUGACUUGAUUGUGGAACUGUUCAAACUAAUUCUUGUUUCCUUUGAUAAAAUAUCUAGAAGGAAUGGACAAUGCCUUCAGUACCAGCUGGAUGGAAUGGACAUACCAAUCAGGAGAAGAUGCAUCAUCUUGCAACAGGUUUUAUAAUAGUAACACCUUAUUUGGUAAGAUCAUUGGAUGGAAAUUUAUUGAUAGAGGGAUCCUUAUUCUUUUUAAAAAAAUUAUGAUAUAGGAAAGUGAUUGGAGCCAGGUAUUAUUUGAGUGGCUAUGAAGCUGAAGAAGAUCUGAUAAUGUCUGUGUCAUUCAAAUCCCCUAGGGACAGUUCUGGUCAUGGCAGCCACACAGCCCCAACAGCUGCAGGCCGGUAUGCGACAAACAUGAAUUAUAAGGGCUUGGCAGCUGGAGGUGCUAGAGAAGGUGCUCCAAUGGCAAGGAUUGCAGUGUACAAGACUUGUUGGGACUCAGGGAGAUUAUUUUAAUGAUGCCAUCUCCUUGGGGUCAUUGCAUGCUGCUAGCCAUGGGGUAGUGGUAGUUGCUUCAGUUGGAAAUGAAGGAAAUUAAGGUUCAGCAACAAACCUUGCUCCAUGGAUGAACACUGUUGCUGCUAGUUCAACAGAUAGGGAUUUUAUAUCUGAUAUCGUAUUAGGAGAUGGUGCUAAUUUCAAUGUAAUGCUAUUUCCUUGUUAAUGUCUGUAGAUUUAUACAUUAUUCUCAGGCUCUUAAAACACUUCUUGGUCAUUGAAUAGGGUGAAAGUCUGAGUCUGUUUGAAAUGAAUGCCUCCACAAGCAUCAUCUCUGCUUCAGAAGCCUAUGCAGGAUACUUCACUCCCUAUCAAUCCAGGUGAAGCAGAAGGUACCUGACAAUAAGUAUAGUCUUAUAUAUUAAUGCAUAAAUGAAAAAUCUCAAGUUAUGUUUUCUUGUUUACUUGUCCCUCUAGCUACUGUUUGGAGACUUCCUUGAAUAAUACUAAAGCCAGACGGAAGAUUUUGGUAUGCCAACAUGCUGAAAGUUCAACAGAUUCCAAGCUGGCAAAGAGUGCAGUAGUCAGAGAAGCUGGUGGAGUUGGAAGGAGCAUGGGGACAGGAUUCUAUCCUAUAUUAAUCAUACAAGGUUUUUUUCUACUCUUUGACGAUGAAGAUUCGGUGUGAGAUAAUUGAAUCACUUUGUGUUUCUCAUUUAAGGCUAUUCCAUUUACAUGAAUAGCAAACCGGUUUCUAGAAUUUUCCCUGCAAAAACUGUAUUGGGAUCUCAUCCUCCUGCCCCUCGAGUUGCAGCAUUUUCUUCAAAAGGUCCCAAUGCCUUAAUCCCAGAAAUUUGGAAGGUAUAUUCCUACUAAAGAUCAUCAAAUUUUAUGUGGGCUGCUCCUUUAAUUACUUGUUUUUAAUUUUAUUCAUGCUUUAUUUCUGAUUAUUCUUCUUUGUAGCCUGAUGUCAUGGCUCCUGGAUUGAAUUUUCUUGCAGCCUAGUCUCCAGCAAUUGAGAAAAUGCAUUUCAAUAUUCUCCUCUGGAACUUCUAUGGCUUGUCCGCAUGUAACAGGAAUUGUGGCCUUGGUCAAAGCCACCAGCUUUGUAUAUAAUGUCUUGCAUUAAGGAAGCACUCACCAGUGAUUUACUUACUAUUAAAUAUAAGGACCUAAAAUCCAUGGUAACCUUGUGACAAAAUACAUGCUCCUCUAGGCUUUGUCAACAGUGUCAUCCAAAGCUCGUUAUGCUAGCUGUUACAAGCACACAUAUAACUAAAAACCAUAGCCAUGGAAACAAAUAUUUAAAAUCAAAAGGAGCUUUUACUGAAGACAGCUCAAACUUCUCAAGCUCUGGAGCAUACUUCCCCAUCACAUUUCCAUCCUUCACCAGGUUUUGCUUUCUCCAAUUUAUUAUCAUCUUUGAUUCCUUUGUCUUCGUCUAGUGCGCACUUGGGAUGGAGGUCGAAAUCACAUUCUGCACAAUAGAAUGACCACAAAUGUCCCUCCUUCUCACACCCAUUACAUCUAUACAUGCGAUGCUUAGUGAGCACAAGCUCAUGCUGUUCGUGAAGGGCGUGCUUCACCUUCGCUGGCCACCCCUUUGCCAUCUCCUCAUACCGCGCUUCGAUCUCCUUUAUAUGUUCAUCAGUGAAGGGAUAAGCAUCAGCCCCAUGAAUCAUAACAAGAUUUCUGGCUUCUGUUGUCACUGUCCGGCCCGUUGGUUCAACGGCUAUGAGCUUGGGGAUGCUCCUGACCUUGAAGGUGCGACCCAAGGAAGCUUUCCUUUUGUCCCCAAAGGGAAGUGCCAGCCAUGGCAUACCUGAAAAGAAUUCAUCAAAGGAGGCCUGAUCCCUGUCACUAGAGAUGAAAAUCACUUCGAAUGCUUCAUCCUUUGCCUUAAUAUUCUGGUAUGCUUCUAUAAGUUUUGGUAGGAAAGCGCGGCAUGGGGGGCACCAAUGUGCUGAGAAAUAUAGGAGGAUGUUCUUCCCUGCUAGGUGAGACACUGGAAUCUGUAACAAGUGCAAUUUGUAAUUGAUUGGGACGGAAAAGUGCAAAAUGAGAAAAAGAGAUGGGAUGCCCUGUCUCAUUCAAGAACAUAGAGCAGAUGUUCACACAUCCUGUGAAAGCAGAUCUUACCUUGACUCCAUCUUUCCCAAUCACAAAAUCUGUGUCCCCUGAAACCAAAAUUGACUCAAGCGUCUGCGCUUCUCGUUUUGCCUUCUCAAUCUCCUCGAGCUCCACAAACUUCUCUGGUGUAAAAGGGUAUGCCUGAAUCCCAUGUUGCUCAAUAGCUUCGGCAACAUUGGAAUGGAGAGUCUUUCCAUCUUGCCCAAUAACAACCAAAG
RNAcentral lists this long non-coding RNA (49324 nucleotides) under Vitis vinifera (wine grape). RNAcentral describes it as "long non-coding RNA (VVIN_LNC000127)". Lineage: Eukaryota; Viridiplantae; Streptophyta; Magnoliopsida; Vitales; Vitaceae. The record is from RNAcentral.